CGCCAUGAGGUGGCCGAGUGGGACCACGGCAAUCUGUGCGGAGAUGGAUGUGAUGGACAGAGGUUCCCUGCGGUACCAGAAGAACUGGUUGAGGAAGGAGAGGAGUGCGCAGGCUAGGGUUCCUAGAGUCCACAUGCGGAAGGUGACUACUGGGAGGGUUCGGUCGUCGGUGAUCGGAACGGUUAGAGCUACUUGCUCGAUGGGAGAGUUCUCGGCGCCGGAGAGUUCGUCCGAGGCAUGAGAUCGGUGGCUUUGAUUCCGGGGAACUGCACAUAGGUAAUUCAGUUUGACUUUACAACAGAGAAACGGCGGAAAAGAGGUGGAAGCGGAAGAUGGUAGUGUAAGAUUUCAUUUCCAUUUUCAAAUUUCAAAUAGAGCAUGUUAAAGUGAAAAAAUUAUCGAAAUCAAGUACAAAGUCUUACGAAGAGGAGCUGUGAUUUCAUGAGCAGAUUUCAUCUCUCCAAGCUCCAACUAUGAACUCCCUCCGGCCACACGCGACUGUCGUCACUGUUGUAAGUCUUCGAUCCAUAUGAAUAUAUCGUAUUGUUUUUAAUUUCAUGUGGUCAAACUUUUUUUCUUUUUUAAUUUUUAAUUCCAUGCGGUCAAAUUUUCAUUUAGAGUGGGACCCUGUUCUCCUCCUCCCUGCUCUCACUCUCCCUCCCUGCAUUCCUUCCCCCCCCCCCCCUAGUCCCCACAACGAGGCUACAUACAUUCAUUCACACAGCUAUCACAGCUGUCUAGUAAUUAAAAGUCAAAAGGAAUUUCCAUUUCUAUUGCAAAGGCGUUCACGCAUGUGAGUGGAUUCCCAAUGUUCCCAAAAAAAUAAAACCCAAUUUUGUCAUAUAAACUUUACAUUCAAUUUUGAAGACACAAGAUGCAGAAGCAUCAAUAAGAUGGACCCAAAACUCUUCAAAUGAGGCAUGCCUGGCUUGUUCCGCGCUUGCAGGAUGUUGUCGUAUCUAUCAUGGCAUACUGAGGCAGCACCACCUAAUAACGACAUGCAGUAUGUGGAUAAUAAAUUCGUGUCCAGCAACAUGUGCAAGAACCAACCUUCGCUAACUGGCCAAUUUUGUGAACUUGGCGACAAAAAGCCCACUGGUUUGAGAGGUCAAGGGAUCAAACCGUAACGUCUUUGGUAUCCCACCACUUUUGCAAGGCCAGUUUGUGGCAGCAUCUAUCUCCUGCAACUCUGCAAGGCCACGAGGAGAAACGGUUAUUUUUCUUCUUCAAAAUGAAGAAAUGAUUAUUCAGGCUAUUUCAAUUGGAUGACAGUAAAAUAGAAGAGCAUAUGAAGUACAGACAUAAGCGCCACAUAGAAGUGAUCAAAACAACAUCAGAAUCCUACCAACUCCAUAGAGUUCAUCUUCCUGCAUAAAUCUGGCUUUCAUUUGCAAAAACUACUUCGCCAUUCAUAGAGUAACCUAAGGCCAUGUUUGGACAUCUUAAUGAUAAUGAGAAUGGAAUUAAAAUGAUUACAACAGAAAUAAAAUCUCACUUAUAGGUAGGAUUACAAUUGAUCUUCAACAAGUGCAGGAAAUGAUAUUUUUUCUAUGUACAAGAUAAGAAAAUACUAUAAAGUGAAAUGAUAAAAAAGUGCCCCAAAAAACACUUUAAGUAUAUAAAAGAUGCCUAAAUGUGUCACCAAAACACAAAGAGGGACCACAAAUAAGGGCACCCCUCAAUCAGAGCCCAACUGGUCUACAAAAUCUAUAAUAAGACCUACAACUCUAAACAAAUUAUCAGUCCCAAAAAUUACAAAGAAAAGAAAAUUUAAGCCUUGCUCCUCAUUUUCAAACACCCUAUAGUUUCUUUACUUCCAAACUAUCCAAAAAAGACAUAAGAGAGCAAUUUGCCAUACCUUUUUCCUCUUUUAAUCUUUGAAAGAGUUGUGCAAUAUGUUUUUUUCUUUUAAAUGAUAUAAAACAUCUUAAAAAUACUAUUUUACCCUUUCAUUUCUAUUAAGUUUAUAUGACUUUUAAUAAAUUUAAUUUUUAUUUAUCCAGUAAAUAUUAUUUUUUUAGUCUUAUUAUUUAACAAAAAAAAAAGUACUUUCAAAAGGUGUUCUUUUAAAAUGAAAAUAAAAACUUAUUUUAAAUUAUGUGUAAGGGUAUUAUUGUCAUUUUUUAAUUCUCAUUUCCAUUGUUACCAAAUAUUGAAAUGAAAAUAAAUAACCAUUCCAACCUUACAUUCUUAAAUGCAUCAUUGGAAUCACCAAAUUCAUUCCUAUUAAAAAAGAAACGGGAAUGAAAACAAAAUAUUCAUUCACAUUCCCUAUUCCUACAUACCAAAUAUAGCAUUAAGAUUUUGUGAAAAGGAACAGCACAUUUGCUCAUCAAAAUUACAUCACCAAAAGAAAUUUAAGACCACAAUUUUCCUAUAUGCUAGAGUUAGAAGCACCAAGAACCUUACCAGCAGAAGCAUUUUCCCGAAGAAAUUGUUCUACCACAUCUUCAUUCUGAGCAGCUGUCAAACUAUUUCACAAAAACAUAAAAGUAAACAAAAUAAAUAAAUAAGAUAAGCCAUCUAAUAACCCAGAAGAAAAAGCGGUAAAAGCCAAUUAUUUUAAGAGCCAUGCUCAAUGCAUAGAAAAUGCACCUGCACGUGCUGUAGACAAGUGAUCCCCCAACUUUUAGUAAUCUAAAACCAUUACUUAGAAGCCGGAACUGCAACCAAAACACAAACAUGUUUUAACACAAUGCAAAAGCAAACGGCAUAGAUAUAUAAUCAUCCCACUAUGGAGCAGAAUUCUCUGCAUCUGGAUGCAGAUAUGAAAAUUAAGAUAGCAUUGGACCAAAAUUUUCUUUCAGCCACUGGAUGCUGAUUCCAGAAAAUGCAAUCAUAAAACAUAACUAACAAAGCAAGCAAAGUGCUUGAAUGAAGGAUUUCAUCCUAAAAUCCUCAUAAAAUCCCACCAAUAUCACCAUCACACUACCACCACAAAUCAUGGCACCCUACCAGCCCUGCCCACAUGAUUAUUUCCAUAAUCACUACCCCAGUACUAUCACCACUGCAGCCAACCACCCCACAAAAACCCUACCACUACCAUUGCCACCACCACUGCCCUUAUCUGCGCAGUUAAUGCCAUCACCACCACCACCACCAUUUCACAAAUCCACGAGAAGUAUAGAGACCAAAAGAACAAAGUUAAGGGCUUAUUUGGGAACUUUUUCGAAAACAGUUCUCAAAAUUUUCAAAAACAUUUUUCUGAUGAUCUCCAGAACAAGAACCUGUUUGGGCCUAUUUGGAAUGUUGUCAACUUGUUUUCUGUGUUUUUAAACAUUCUUAUAUAUAACUUUUAUCUGUAGUGCUUUAUUUUCAAUUAUUUUUUAUAUCUGUACAACUAUUUUUUAAAACAACCCCUAGUAAACAAGUGAAAACAAUAAAAAUAUGUUAUUAGAAAACACCCUAUUUUCAUAACAAUUCUCAAAAGCCUAUUUUCGGAACAAUGACAACCAAAUUUGUUUUCAUAUUUUUUUGUUCUUAUUAAAAAAAAAAAAAAAAAAAAAAAAAAAAAAAAAAGAAGCCAGUUAUUAAGAACAAUUCUCAAAUAUAGCCUAAUAUUCUAGAAAUUUGAACUUUUAAUUCCUAGGUGUAAAUCCCUUCACCCUCAAAUGUCUAAGUGAAAAGAAGGAAUCAAUUACCUGAAGAACGGUUAAGCUAUCAGUCCUCUCUGCAUCUAAUACACGGCGCUCAAGUGUUUCCCAUCCCCAAUGGUCAAAUUUUUGGAUAUGUCUAAUUGACCCAUCAUGAGUGCAUUCUGCAUCAACAAGGACCUGAAUUAAGUUUCAAUAGGUCAUUAGCCUUUAAACAAAAAUGAAGAAAUAUAAAAACCAGCAGAACUCAUAUGACCUAGAAAAAAGGAACGAAAUCAAUUGGUAAGGUCUUUUAUUUGGUUUCAGCCAAUUACACAGGAGCAUAACUGCUUUUUCUUAAAUAUAAAACUAAAAUGCAAUCUACCUUGUCAUAGCCACACUUCAACACCUCACUGUCACAUGCAAUUUUAUAUAGUUCAGUUCUACUAAGACCAAUCACUCCAGAAUGCCACCCAUAAAAUAUGAGUUCUGGAUCUUGAAUCCCUGGGACUAACUGUGAACCAAUGCCUUCCCUAGCUUUCUUUGCAUUUUUCCUUUCUUUCCAUGGUCUUUUAGAAGUCCACUCCUUAAAUACAUCCACCUUUCCUUUAGAUGCAAAUUCACCUGUUUAGCACUAGACAGAAUGAUAACACAUUACAGACAGGAAAACUACUACAAAUAAAUUUCCAAAAAUGAGAACUUAGCAGUAUAACUGUUGAAGUUUAAGAGUGAUUGUAUUACAACUUCUUCCAGACUUACCACCUGAUUUUGAAUCUGAAUGUUCCAUCACAGGAAUGAGGGAAAAUGUUGUUCCAUCAGCAACAAAGAGGCGACACCUAUCUCCCAGUGCAUAUUUCUGAAUCAUUGUUCUACAAGCAGCUAAACGAUGUCUUGCAACAUCGACACCAGUUACAGAACCCGAAUUACCAAUAAGGUCUAACGUCAUACAAAGUUUAGCACCUGAGGGUAAAAAUAAUGACAAAUAAAUUGAGUUGAGUGUGUUUGUUAGAAAUAUCAAAAACACCAAAAAUCCGUAUCCGAAGCUCCCCAGAGACUAUGUCACAGAAAAUUAAAAAAACUAAUAGUCUAGCCAUGACCAAGCUCCCACAACGUUGCAAGAGAAGCUGACAUAUCCCAUAAAAUUCAAUUUUAUGUGGAGAGGACCUGGAUUAAACCUGUCCCAUAACAAAAAAUCCCACCAUAACCAUGUAGUCACAUGGAUAAAACUGCUGCGCUGAAAAGCAAUGGUGUCCAAAUAAGUACAGUCCAGCAGUCUUCCUACAAUGCUCUGCAUCUAAACUGUGUUUCAAGUUUCCGUGAACAGAAUAGAAUUUGACUCCACAAUUCCACUUGGACUGACAAUAAGGUUUUGAUUAAAUCUACAAAAUCAAUGUAUGAUAACAAGUUACCAGGAGCAGCACACAGAUCAAGAACAUGAUCUCCCUCAGAGACAUUUAAAGCUGAAACAGCCGCCCCAGAAGCUGCAUCAAUUCCAUAUAUCUGAAUAACCAGAUCAAGGCAAUAAAUAUGUAAGCAAUUGCAAUAGAAAAGCAAAAAAAAAAUCAAUGAAAAGGAACAAUUCAACUAAGUGAGAUAAACUGGUUUCCACCUUCCCUUCCUUGUAAGCCAUGGAGUUUGCAAUGUGAAUCUGGGGUGGAAGAGAGUAGAAAUUCGGUAACCAACCCACUUUCUCAAGCUUCGACUUGAAUUCAGCUUCUAGCUGUUGGAUUUGUGCUUCACUAAUGCUACCGGGUUUCAACCUAUAUCCCCAAUUCAUAUACAUUACAACAGAACCGAACUCUUUAUCAAUGGCCCAUGCUAUGAAACAAUUGUCGGACUAGAGUACCUUAUAUAUCGAGGCGUUGAAUCGGCUGUUGUAUAUAUCGAAGGAUCCACACCAUUCUCCUUCAGAAAAUCCAGAAACGCCUCUGGCAACCCAAUUGCUGAGGCUUCUUCCAUCCUCAACGGCACCCAAAAAAACCCUAGAAAGAUGCGGUCUUAUGCUUCAAAUUGCAUUCGUAUUUAAAAUGGCAGCUUAUUAUAUUCCCAUUCAAAACGUACCGUUUUGAUUUUGGUUUCCGUAUAAAACGACGUCGUCUUCCAAUUCCCAGUUCUUCUCACGGUCAUAGCCUCCACGCUUUCCUGCCCUAGCGUCCUUAUUGCAUUAUCUCAUAGAAAAUUAAUUUAUAUAAAAAUAAAUAAAAUGAUAAAUAUUUUUUAAAUAAAUAAAUAAAUAUGUUAUAUUGACUUUUUUUAACCUAACUUUUUUUUUUAUCUAAUUUAUUUAUAGUAAAUAAAACUUACAAGAGUAUAUUCUUUAUUUCCAUAUUAUUGAAUUACUAAUAAAGUUAUGAAAUAAAUAGAUAUAUAUAUUUUAGAUUUAUUAAAAUAAUGUUUAUUUUAUUAAUUAAAUAUAAAGAAUUUAGAUUUUUUUCCUUAUUUUUUUAUAAAUAAUAUUUAUCAUGCUCAUAAAGUCAAUAUGUUCCCAAGAAAACAAAAUUAAUAUUAUCUAAUAUCUGGAGUUUAAGACCAAAAUAAUAUAUUUAUAAAAAAAAAUGAUAAGAAUAGUAUCCAUUUGAAAAUAUUUGUCAAAGUAGUCUUUUUUAUCCACGUAAGCAUCCACAUGGAUUUUAAGUGUAAAGAACCACCGUUGGUGACUGUGGUUUUAGAACUUACAAAAAUUUCCUUAAAACCACAGUUACAAACUGUGGUUUUAUAAUUUCUCUUAGAACCACAGUUAUUAACUGCGGUUUUAAAAUAAGUUUCCUUAAAACCACAGUUACAAACUGUGGUUUUACAAUUUCCUAACUUUAUAAUUAUUUUUAAUUCGUUCCCAUUUUAAUGGUGUUAUAAUUUUAAUAUUAUUUUUAAAAUAUUUUUUUUAUCAAAACAACCAUAAAACCACGGUUAGUAACUGUGGUUUUACUAAUGGUGUUGUAAUUCAAAUUAGUGAUGUUAUGUUAUUCACAUGUUUCCUUGAUAAUUUAAACAAAUAAAACUCAAAUGCAUCCUAAAGUCUAAAUGAAAGAAAUUCUAACUAAAUAAAUUAUUACAACCAUUACCUAUUUUUCUUUCAUAUAAUUAAAAAAUUAUACAUUUUAACCAAGACAUAAGUUCAAAUCAUACUUAAUAAUAAAUAACCUAAAAUCAUAAUCACUGGCAUUAAUUUUCAUAUGAAAAGAUAAAAUUUUAAAAUAAUAUAAACAAUUUCUUUAGUUAUUUAAAAAUUUAAAAAUAAUAUGAAUAAAUAAUUUUCUUUAGUUCAUAUGUGAAAAUAUUUGUAAAACAAAUAAAUAUUUUAUUUACUAUAAAUAUAUAAAUUUUUAUGGGAAUGCAUGUAGACCAAAUUAUUUUCUCAAAUUUUCAAGGAAAAUAUGAAAAAAUAAAGAUAAAAUAUAUAUAUAUAUAUAUAUAUAUAAUUUUUUUUUUAAACAGUCGUAACAAAAAAAUUUGUGAAAAGCAAAGUUCUAAAAUCCCAUACUUUUUUAUACAUGAGUCCCCUUAAAAAUAUUUGUGAAAAUUACAACAUAAUUGUAAUUUUGAUAAAAAAAUAUUUUAAAAAUAAUAUUAAAAUUACAACACCAUUAAAAUAUAUGCGGAUUGAAAAUAACUGUAAAACCACAGUUACUAACUGUGGUUUUAUGGGUAUUUUGAUAAAAAAAUAUUUUAAAAAUAAUAUUAAAAUUACAACACCAUUAAAAUAGAUGUGGAUUGAAAAUAAUUGUAAAACCACAGUUACUAACUGUGGUUUUAUAGUUAUUUUGAUAAAAAUUAUUUUAAAAAUAAUAUUAAAAUUACAACACCAUUAGUAAAACCAUAGUUACUAACUGUGGUUUUAUGGUUGUUUUGAUAAAAAAAAUAUUUUAAAAAUAAUAUUAAAAUUAUAACACCAUUAAAAUGAGGACGGAUUAAAAAUAAUUGUAAAACCACAAUUAGUAACUGUGGUUUUAAGGGAAAUUGUAAAACCACAGUUUGUAACUGUGGUUUUAAGGAAACUUCUUUUAAAACCGCAGUUAGUAACUGUGGUUCUAAGAGAAAUUAUAAAACCACAGUUUGUAACUGUGGUUUUAAGGAAAUUUUUGUAAAUACUAAAACCACAGUCACCAACGGUGGUUCUUUACACUUAAAAUCCAUGUGGAUGCUUACGUGGAUAAAGAAGACUACUUUGACAAAUAUUUUCAAAUGGAUACUAUUCUUAUCAUUUUUUUUUACAAAUAUAUUAUUUUGGUCUUAAACUCUAAUAUCUGAAAUAAUAAUAAUAAUAAAAUUAUUAAGUUUCUAAGAAAAUUAAUGCUAUAAAUGGAUGGGUAGAGGGAGGAAGAAUAGUUUUCUGUGAUAUUGAUAUUUUCUUUAGAGCUGAAUUUAUCGGGCGAAAGCUGUGUGCUAGGGUUGUGGUGGGUUUUGGGUUUUGGGUUUUGAAUCAGACAUUUAUGUCGACCGCUGCAGCCAAAGCCCUUGCUGGAAUUCUAGUGUUUGUUUCUUACUCUGUUCGCCUCACCUACGCUAUUGUUCACCUCAAAUCCUUGUCCGCUUCCUUCAUUGACGCUCCCGCCAGAUUUGGUAUGGAACUUUUAGGGUUUUUUUUUUUUUUCUUGUCUGUUUGGUUCCCGAGAAAACAGAGAUUAGAGUGAAGAAAAGGAAAUCUCUCUUUUCUGAAACAAUGAAAUGUUUGAGAUUCAAAUUUUCAAUUUUUUUUUUCUUUUCUUGCGUUUUCUCAGCGACCGGCAGAGUUUCCUUUGCGACGUUCCUGUAUCUAUUGCUGCUACGUCUGUUGCCGUGGACCAAUAUUUCGAAAUAAACUGGGACUGAGUUUGUUGUUAUGUUUUUGCAGCUGUUAGUGUUAACAGCACUGGAAUAUGCGGAGCUUUGCAUUUGGCAGAUCCUCUCGAGGCAUGUUCUUCUCUGCUCAACAGGUUUCGAUCCCAAGAAAUUGAUACAAUAAAAUUUGCUCUGAUAAUUAGGGGUAAAUGUGCUUUUGAGGAUAAAGUCCGAAAUGCUCAAGAUGCUGGCUUUCAUGCUGUAAUCGUGUAUGAUGAUCGAGAUAAGGGGAAUUUGGUUUCCAGUGAGUCAUCUUUUGCCUUGAAAUAUUAUUUCUCUGAAUCCAUGGCAUUAGAUGUUCAUAGCUUAGUUCUUAGAGAGAGAGAGUAAAGGAACUUUCAAAAUUUUGACAGAUGAUAAACUCAGUGAAUUUUGAACUAAAUUUUUUUUUUUUUCCAGCAAUAUUCUUUACUUCUUCAGUCUCAAACUUUGGCACAUUCAAUCAAUCAUUAAUGACAAAAUCACAAGGACAAAGAAAAUUGAAUACACAGAUUCAUAAAUCAAAGAGUGUUUUUUUGCCUAGUUUCUUGGGCAAUGUUUGUAUGCUUCGUGUGUACUGUUCUCGCCCUCCUAGGCAUUUCUAAUAUAAGCUCUUACUUACCUAUCAAAAAAAAUAAAUCAAAGAUUGUUUUAACUACACCACAUGAGAGAAUACCUCUUAGUCUGGAGCUCUGGAUAUGCAUUCUCCUUAUCCCCUCACAGGCUUUCAAGGCUGUUACAAUGAUAUUUAAUCCUCUAUAUGACCUUUCAAUUUCAGUUUCCAGUUUAAGUUUAUCUGUAAUUACUUAAGACUAAUGAUUUUUUAAUUUCAUUGCUACUGUUUGCAGCAUAAUGCAAUCAUUUUACUACUGCUGUUUAAUGUGCUUCUGCAUUUAUUUUCCAUUAUUUAUUCUUUUGUUCAGCUACAAUAAUAUCUGCCAUUCAUUGGUUGUAGUGAUAGGAAACUCCCAGGGCAUAUGGGUGCCUGCAGUUUUUGUUUCUAAGGCAGCUGGUGAAACCCUGAAGAUAUAUGCUCAAGGACAAGAAGGGGAAUGCUGCAUUAUAAACCCUUCAUUCCCAGAAUCUGCCUGGACUGUGAUGGUAAUAUCUUUCAUCUCACUUCUUGUCAUAGCAACUGUCGUGUUAACGUUCUUCCUCACUCGCAACCGCCGGUUGAAUCAACGAGGAACAAAUCCCCACCGUCCUAGUGUGGAUGCCAAGUUGGUGGAAGUUCUUCCCUGCUUUACAUUCAGUCAAGCAUGUGAGUGCCGCGUAGGAGAUACAUGUUCCAUCUGUCUUGAGGACUACAAAGAUGGUGAACGGCUCAGAGUUCUCCCCUGCCAACAUGGUAGGACUUCACUACUCAAAUUUAUGCUUUCAUUUCAUGAAAUUCUUAAUGCAAUCGAGCACUAAUUGCGUAGCAUUUUCAUGAUUAGUGCAUUUGUUUAAAAGGUGGAACCUAAUAUAUAUAUAUAUAUCACAUGGUCACUGAUUUACUGAGUUCAUAGUUUCUGGGAUGUUUGCUGAAGUUCCCCUUACAAGUAGAACAGAAGGAGGAACUGGAAAAAGAUUCUUCCUUAAUCCAUGAACCAAUGGUGGUGUCACUGAAACGCCAUCCUUGUCCCCACACAAGAAUGUAGAUGGUUAGCAUCAUAGAAUGCAAUUUAAUUUCUACCUAAAGAUGUCUCCUAGAUGAAGCCAUCAAAACAUGGAUGUCGGUCCUUUAGCUAUAUUCCUGUCCUUUUACCCUAAUUUAUCAUGUAUUAAUUAAUUAUGUUUAAAUUUACCUGCAGAAUUUCACGCGAGCUGUGUGGACUCAUGGCUUACAAAGUGGGGGACUUUCUGCCCGGUUUGUAAAUAUGAUUUGAGUACUGAUGCCACAUGUUCUAAAGUGAAUGAGAGGAGAACAUUUUUAUUUUUUUAGUGCUUUAUACUGUAAAUCGGAUCCAUUUUGCCAAGUGUCUGUAAAUUUUUAGAAUACGAAGGCUUCAUCUUCUUUUUAGUGUUAUUUCCUCUUUCCUUUCCUGUAUAUCCUAGUCUAUGGUAAGGAUCUCCGUAAUUAUCUCUUGGGGUGAGAAUCGUGAAUGAUAUGCUUGCUCCUAAGUGUCUAUAUUGAUCUUAAAAGCUACUGUACAGAGUGCAAUAAUUUAGAAUUGAAUACAUAUGAAAGCUAUUGUUGAAGAUAAUAAACUGCAAUGGUACCCGAUUGACGCAUCAAGUGGUCAUAUGCAGCCAUGGGGCAAAGAAGACACACUUGUGCAUGCUUUAAUUGAUAUUUUGGGUUAAAAACCAUCCAAAAUGCACUUUGAGUUGGUUUGGGCAAGAUAGCCUGGAAUCUGCAUUGUAUUGGCAAUUUGUCACGUUCCCUGGGGAUAUCCAGUAUUAGCAUUUUAUUAUGUCCUCUGGUCAUUCUGAUUCAUAUUUCAAUCAAAUCUCAUGAGCCCAGAUUGUGCUCAGCUACAGGUAUUCUGCCCUUGUACCCAAAAUUUGAACAGGAUUGAGUUGAGCCUUUGUAGUCUUAUGCUUCUCGAUUUUGAGAAACAGAGAUGUAGGGAGAAAGCUUUUGCACAAUUAUUAACUGACUCGGCAGAAAAAUUCUUUGGAAUCCACCUCAAAUGGUGCCAAUGAAAGGGCCAAUCAUGCUGAAAAUUAUUAUAUUUCUAAGAUUUCAACAAUUCAUCUCCAUUGCUCACGAAAGGAAAAGUAAACGAAAUGAUUAAAAAUUUUGCUUUCAAUUGUUUAAGGGCCCUUCUAGGAAAGGGCAAGUAAACGAAAUGAUUUGAAAAUUUUGUUCAAUAAAAUAGUCUAAAGAUGCAGUGAUUCAAGCCAUCUUAGAGCCUUGACAAAUUAUCCCCACAAAAAUGUCAACCUGGAAGAAGAAUUCCUUUCACGUUAAACAAUCUUAAAGCCUUUUUGUGAAAUCAUCAACCAGACAGCCACAAUUUACAUCUUCAGCUAGUUUUCCAAGACCGACGGCCGCAGAUUAUAUCUCAUGGAUUCUGAGAAAAGGUGACUUUCUUUUUACACCAGAUAAAUCUAACUGCUGAAUUCUAUACGGAUGUUUUGAUUUCUUCCUUCUUUUGUCUUCUGCUCUUUUGCAGCCCAGCAACAGAAUUUAUCAGCGCUGAUGCUCAUGAAGCUAAGGAUCUUAUUGCCUCCGGCUAUAGAUACCUAGAUGUUAGGUUCGUGGUUGUAUACUUGUACUGGUGUAUUUUGAAUUGGGUCUCGUUUGGAUUUUCUGGGUCUGCUCUUAAUUUUGGAACCGAAUUCUUAUCAUAGGAUGGUGGAAGAUUUCAACAAAGGCCAUGUGGAUGUUGAGAGCGUCUUUAACAUCGCUUACUUCAUCAUGACCCCAGAGGGUAACUACUGCCUCCCUUUUUCUUUUUCCCGCUUGUGUUGCAGACAUUUUAGAAAGAUGAUAUGGCUUUGGGUAUCAGGUAGGGUGAAAAAUCCUCAAUUUUUGGAGCAGGUUUUGUCGGUUUGCAGCAAGGAAGAUGGUCUCAUUGUGGUACUCUUUUUUGGCAUUUUCAACUUUGUUAUACAUAGUCGCAUCAAUUAGAAACUAAUAUCAAAUAGAGUAUGAACCGAGUGAAUAUAUUUCAUUAAGUAAUGUGAAUUAUUCAAUGUUGGUGAAGGGCUGUGGAACCGGGGACAGGUCUCGUCUUGCAACGGUUGAUCUUCUUAAUGCUGUAAGUUUGUUCUUACCUUUUGCUCUGCAGAUUUUAAAUUGGAUAUAGCCUGAUUUCAUAUUUGAGCAUACUUUUUGCCACAUUCUUGAAGUCAUACUCCUCCAUUAAAAAAUAAUAAUAAUAAUAAAAUUCCUCUAAAAAUUUUCAACCUUAAUUAGCUAAUUUAGCUCAUUAAAAACAUAUGUUGAAUAAACUUCAGGAUUUCAAACACGUAAGGAACAUGGGAGGAGGAUAUCGAUCCUGGCACGAGGCUGGAUUGGGCGUGAAGAAAGAGGCUUGAUGGGUUAAUUUGGUUACUCCAAGUGUCUUCAAUUUGUAUCUUUGUUUAUAACUAGAGUUGUUUGAGAGUGACCUUUCAUUGCUAAGUAUAAAAUUGCUCUAGCCAUUGGAUAAGUGGAAUGAUGCUUCAAUAAUUGGCUUGACAUAAUGUGCAUUUAUGUGAUGGGUGUGUUCCACUUCUUUAAUUGAACAGCAUCAUACUUUUAGUUUUAUAUGAUCCAGGACAUUGACCAAUGAGCCAAGAGAAGAAUCCAAGGGGAUUUCAGUACUAUAUAUUAUUUCAUUUUCAUUUUCGUUAUUAUUAUCACGGCACAUUAGAAUGAAAACAAAUAAUCAUUCUAAUUUUAAAUUUCUAGGUUUAUCCAAACACUAAAAAUAAAAUCAUCAAAUUUAUUUUCUAUUCCCGCAUACCAAACACCCUCUAAGAAAGUAUAUAUAUCCAUCAAAACUUGAUCCUCCAAUUCUCAAAAUCUUUCCUAAGAGUAACUUUAACUUUCAAUAAAAGUAAAAAAACAUGAUCCUGAAACUUUAAUAAAGAGCUUCAAAGAAUCCAUUGAAAAGUAUAAGGGAUUGGUUUUUCUAUGUUAUAGCCUUGUAGUCAUCCAUGUGAACAAUUUUAACUCACCAACCAAGCCGUCAAUCUGUAGGAAAAAACAUUUCUUAAGAUUAAGCUCAUUGCAUCACCUUCCUACCCACUCAUUGCAUUUGAAGUUGAUAAACUCUUAGACCAACUUUAUCACACUCAAGAUAAUGCUUUACCCAAUUUUCCUUCAUGUAGAUUUUUAGUGUUUUUGUAAAAACCCGCACCCAACCAUGUAGAUAUUGUCCGCUUUGGGUCCAAGGGGGCCCUCGCGGCUUUAAAACGCGUCUACUUGAUUAAGAGGAGCCUCUACAUAUAUAGCGUCAAGAACAUUCUCUCCUAUCCGAUGUGGGAUAUCACAAACACCCCCCCCCCCCAUGCAGACACAACGUCCUCGUUGUGUUCCAUGGGAUUGCUGAGCCAAACAAACAAACACCCCUUACGAAGCCAAACAAACCCCUACACCUGGGUCAGGGAUCGACUCUGAUAUUAUUUGUAACGACCCGCACCCAAUCAUGUAGAUAUUGUCCACUUUGGGUCCAAGGGGGCCCUCAUGACUUUAAAACACGUUUACUUGGUUAAGAAGAGUCUCUACAUAUAUAGCGUCAAGAACAUUCUCUCAUAUGCGAUGUGGGACAUCACAAACACCCCCUCCCCCCAUGCAGACACAACGUCCUCGUUAUGUCCCAUGAGAUUACGGGGUCAAACAAACAAACACCUCUUGGCCAAACAAACCCCCACACCGGGGUCGGGGAUCGGCUUUGAUACCAUUUAUAACGACCCGCUCCCAACUGUGUAGAUAUUGUCCGCUUUAGGCCCAAUGGAGCCCUCAUGACUUUAAAACCUAUCUAUUUGGUUAAGAGAAGCCUCUACAUAUAUAGCGCCAGGAACUUUCCCCCCUAUCCGAUGAUAGGGGAGAAUGUUUGUGAUGUCCCACAUCGGAUAGGGGAGAAUGUUCCUGACGCUAUAUAUGUAGAGACUCCUCUUAACCAAGUAGACGCGUUUUAAAGCUAUGAGGGCCCCGUUAGGCCCAAAGCGGACAAUAUCAACAUGGUUGGGUGCGGGUCGUUACAAAUGGUAUCAAAGUCGAUCCAUGACCCCGAUGUGGGAGUUUGUUUGGUCUCAUAAGGGGUGUUUGUCUGUUUGGCCCCCCAAUCUCAUGGGACACAACGAGGACAUUGUGUCGCAUGGGGGGGAAGGGGUGUUUGUGAUGUCCCACAUCAGAUAGGGGAGAAUGUUCUUGACGCUAUAUAUGUAGAGACUCCUCUUAAUCAAGUAGAUGCGUUUUAAAGCCGUGAAAGCUCCCUUGGGCCCAAAGCGGACAAUAUCUACAUGGUUGGGUGCAGGUCGUUAUAGUUUCAAUAAGACUUUCGUCAAUUAACCUUCUUAUCAUAUUCUUAAGCAAUUAUUUGGUGAUAGAAGCUCAUUUUAACACAUCUUUUCUCUUUCUCUAAGUCGAAAAAGUAGAGGAAAAGUGAGUUUUGAUUCACUAAUAUGAAAAUAUAAAAAAAAAAAAGGAUCUCAAAAUUUUUAAAUUAAUAUUAUCUCCAUCUAUUUAAAAAUAAUUUUUUUGAAAUAUAUAUACUUUUUAAUGAAUCAUUUUAUUAUUUCUUAAAAUACUCAUUUUAUUUUUCAUGUCGUCAAUAUCAAUUUACAACUAAAUUCCUCCACAUAAAUAUUUUCCUUCAUUUUAAUAUUAUUAUUAUUAUUAUUAUUAUGAAUAUUUUAAGGGAAUAAUUAAAUGGCUCAUUACAAAAUACAUUUAUUUCAAAUUAUUUUUAAAUAAAAAAACUAAUACUGAUUAAAAAAAUUUGGUUCUUUUUUCCAUAUAUUUUCAUAUUAAUGAAUAAUUCUCAUGUACAAAAUUAUCAUUUUAUGACUUCAAAAAUAUUAAUAAAAUAAAAACUUAUUUUUAAUAAAAACAAGUUAGAUUAUCAUUUUAUCAUUUUCUAUUUUAAAAUUUAAUUGAUUUUUUAUUUAGAUUUUAUUAAAAUAUCUUUCAAUAGAGUUCAAGUAAUAUUUUAUUAGUUUUAAUUUUAAAAUUUUUAUUUCAAUUUUUUUUUAGAAUAUUUGAGAAAAAAAUUAAAAAGAAAAACAAUAAGAAAAAGGAAGAAAAGAAAAUUUUGUUUGGUAUAGAGUCCUUUGCGGUGCCGAAAGGUUAAAGGGUAAGCCGGCCGUGCCCUGCUGUCAUCGUAUUUCCUUUUUUUUUUUUUCCGCCCAGCGAAGCCCCUCAGUUUCUACCCUGUAUUAUUUCUAAUUAAAAUAUAAUCUUUUUUUUUUUUGUAAAUAUUGAUGAAGAAAAGGGCAAUUUCGGGAGAAUAAAAACUCUGUUUUUCUUCGUAAAGCCGUCCAUAGAAACAGACUCAGAUAUUCAUUCUGCGAACCAGAAACAGCAGGACACAUCGCUUCCAUAUUCAUCCGGUUUUCCUUCUCCAGAAACCCUAAGAUAUAGGCCCCUACUCUCUACCUCAUGGCCUCUCCUAGGUGUGGUUCUUGUUUGAGCCAUAUUUUUUCUAUAUAGCUGCGAAUUUCUAUAUAUUCACAUGGGUGUUCUUUGGGCUGUUGUCCGUCGUUGGUUUCAGUUUCUUUUCUUUGUCUUCUUUUGUGUUGCAGCUCUGCAACAGAAGUCGUCACCAUUGAUGUUCAUGCAGCUAAGGAGCUCACCAAUUCAGGCUACCGUUAUCUUGAUGUCAGGUGGAUUAAUCGCUUCUCUUUAUGAAUUGGUUUGUCUUUAAAAUUUCUGGGUUGGGUUUUGUUUUGAUUGUGGAACUUGAAUUGGAUUCAUAGGACGGUUGAAGAGUUCAAGAAAGGCCAUGCCGAUGUUGAGAACAUUCUGAACAUCCCUUACCUCUUCACCACCCCUGAGGGUACGUACAUAAUCUCAGGUUCUGUUUGCUGGUUUGUUUGAGAUAUUAAUAUAUCCUGUACUGGAUCAAGAACAUCAGCAAAGAUGAUAUGGAUGUGGGUAUGGGUUUCAGAAAGGCUGAAAAUUCCUGAAUUCUUGGAGCAGGUUCAGUCUGCUUGCAGCAAGGAAGAUCAUCUCGUCGUGGUAAUUUUUCAUUUGAUUUCCGGAUUGAAUCAUAACAAAUAUAAUCUUGAUGAAUUUUCUGAAAUUGUUUAUUUAUUCUCAAUGAAUGGAUGUCUAGGUGGGGUGAGAUCCCUUGCAGCCGCCUCUGUUCUUGUCAAUGCUGUAACUUCAUCUUCUACUUUCUUUUCUUUUCUUUUUUGUUUUUGAAUAAUUUUCUUUCUAGAAAAGAGAUGCAUAGAAAAUUUGGGGUGGCAGGGUUUCAAGGAUGUGAAGGACAUGGGAGGAGGCUAUGAGGCAUGGGUGGAAACUGGACUUACAGUCACCAAACCAAAAGAAGAAGAGAAGUGAUUGGAUGCUUCACUGUAAAGCUAGACCUUUGCCUAUGCAUUAAUUCUUGGUUGUAUGUUCUCCACCAAUCAAGUAUCACAUUUCUUCUCGUCUCCGCCAGCUUCCUCCUCAUACGGUGGAUAAGCUUUUUAAAUUAAUGAGAAAUUUUGAGCCCUUAAAACCCAAUGACAUAGUUGGCCUAUGUUUGUUUCCUGAGAAAAUGUCAGAGAAAUAAAACAAAAAGAAAAAUUAGAAAGAAAGAAAGAAAAAAUGGAGAAAAAAAAAGGGAUUUGAAGGUAAUAAAUCAUUUUUACUUAUUUUUAUUAAAUAAUUUUAAAUACAUUUAAUCAAAAUAUAAAAAAAAUUAAUUAAAUUUUAGCUCUGGUGAAUUUUACCACUUCCACCAAGUAUAAGACCUUGAACAGGCCUAACAAACUAUCUCGCCGUAAGUGUACUUGAACUUCCAAAUUCAACACAAGGUCUUAUUAACAUGCCCUAACCAUCUCAGUGGGGCUCAAAAUGUCUUAUUAACUUAACAAGGUCAUCCACCAUGGGUGGAGGUUGACACUAACAAUAUAAAAGAGGAGACAGAUCAGAAUGUUUGAUAAGCAACCAAUCACAGCUCCUCUUUUGGUUUCGUGGCUACAAGCCCAUUCUGCACCCACGCCAGAUACCCUCCUCCGAUGUCCUUCACAUCCUUGAAACCCUGCCAUUUCAUUCACCCACCCUCAAAUUUUCCAUCUCUUUUUCUAUAUUCUAAAUUAUAAAAGAAGGAAAUUUAUUCAAGAAAAAGUGAAAGAUGAACUUACAGCACUGACAAGAACAGAGGUGGCCGCAAGGGAUCUCACCCCACUUUGACAGCCCUUCAUUGAGAAUAAUAAAUAAACAAUUUCAGAAAAUUCAUCAACUUAUGAUUCAAUCUGGAAAUCAAAUGAAAAAUUACCACGAUGAGAUGGUCUUCCUUGCUACAAGCAAACUGAACCUGCUCCAAGAAUUCAGGAUUUUUCACCCUUCCUGAAAUCCACACCCACACCCAUAUCAUCUUUACUGAUGUUCUUGAUCCAGGACAGAAUAUAUUAAUAUCUCAAACAAACCAGAAAACAGAACCUGAGAUUAUGUACGUACCCUCAGGGGUGGUGAAGAGGUAAGGGAUGUUCAGAAUGUUCUCCACAUCGGCAUGGCCUUUCUUGAACUCUUCAACCGUCCUAUGAAUCCAAUUCAAGUUCCAAAAUCAAAACAAAACCCAACCCAGAAAUUUUAAAGACAAACCAAUUCAUAAAGAGAAGCGAUUAAUCCACCUGACAUCAAGAUAACGGUAGCCUGAAUUGAUGAGAUCCUUAGCUGCGUGAACAUCAAUGGUGACGACCUCUGUUGCUGAGCUACAAGACAAAAGAAGGAACAGAAGAAGAAACUGAAAUCGACAACGGAACACAGCCCAAAGAACACCCAUGGCCUUGUGAAUAUAUAGAAAUUCGCAGCUAUAUAGAAAAUGUAUGGCGCAAACAAGAACCAGACCUCUGAGAGUCCAUGAGGUAGAGAGUAGGGGGCUUAUAUCUAAGGGAGAAGCUUGUGGGCUGUGAGAUCCAGUGGGUUUUUGGAGGAGGAAAACCAGAUGAAUAUUGAAACAAUGUGUCCUGCGGUUUUGGGUUUGCGGGCUGAGUCACUGGGUCUUUUUCUAUGGAUAACUUUAUAAAGGAAAACAGAGUUUUACUCUCCCGAAAUUACCCUUUCUUUCAUCAAUAUUUACAAAUGGGUUAUUUUUUAGGCCGUGAAUCCAUUGCUAAAUUUAGGCAUCUUUUAUAGUUGUUUUUUUAAAAAAUAAAAUAAAAUAUAUGCAACAAUUUAAAAACAUAAAACAGUUUUUUAUUUUAAAAAACAUGAAACGGUUUUGUUUUUAAAAAUAAAAAAAUAAGAUGUUUUCAAAGGAAUAUCUUAAUUGUUUUUAAUUAUUUUCAUUUAUUUUUUAAGUAUUAUUUAAAAAAUAAUUAUAUAAAUAUGAAGAAUAAUUAAAAAUAAAGUAUUACAUAUAAAAUUUAUUUUAAAAAUAUAUUUAAAAUAUAAAAAUUAGUUAAAAUUUUUUAUAUUCUCAAAUAGACAUUUGUGUUUUAUAAAACAUUAGAAAAUAGGUUUUUUAAAAUGUUUUUUAAAUUUGAUUUCAAAAAUAGUUACCAAAUAGGGUAUUAGUUUGUAUCAUGUAAAAAUAAUGGAUAGAAAAUGAGGGAGAUCCGUUAGCUAGAAAAAAAUGGAAAUGCCAAAGAGAGUAGGCUUACUUUUUUACUCUUUGGGCAUGAAAAGGACACAUACUAUUUAGAUUUCAUUUUUUGUUUUUUUUAACCCAUAAAGUAUUUGUGAAGAAAAAAAUGGGCAUUUGGUAAAAUUUAGAAAAUGUUUUUAAAAAAUUGAAAAAUCAUUCACAAUGUUUGAUGAAGAAAACACUUUUAAUAAAAGUACUUAAGGAGAUAAACACUAUCAAACGCAACGUUAAAGUCGAUUUAACAAAACUUUUAGAAAGCACUUUUAAUAUAAAAAAAAUUAAACAUUUAAUAAAAUUUUAAAAACACUUUAUAUUGUUGGAAAUUCAUGUAGAAACCAUUGACCGAUGAUUCUUCUAAGCAUUUAUAAGGAAAAAUAUUUUGAUUAAAAGCACUUCAAAUAAAAAAAUACUCUCAAAUACACUUUUAAACUAUUUAAAUUUAUUUGUAUAUUAUUUUUUAUUUUUACAAUAAAAAUAUAGAAUGAAAAGAUGUUUAGAGACUUAGAGGGUGUUUAUUUUCUUUAACUUUUUUCUAAAAGUAAUUUAUUUUUAAACUUUAUGUUGUUUAUUUUUCUAUUUUUUCAUAACUUAUUAUAAAAAUUUUGCUAAAUAUAAAAAAUCAAAAUAUUUAACAUUUUCUAAAUGGAAAAUGCAACAUAUUGAUUUUUUUUAAUACUUAAUAUAAAUAAAAUAUUGUAAAAACAAACAAUUUAAUACUUAAUAUUAUUAAGCAUUAAAGUUAUAAUUAGAGUUAAGUAAAAAAAACAAACACCACAUUAAAUUGAAAUAUGGUAAUUUUAAAAAUUACUUACAAAAAUUGAGAAAACAAAAAAAAAUUACAGCCUUAGAUUUUAAAAUUUGUGAAUGUGAUUUUUAAAUGCUGAAGCUAAAAUAUAUGCUUUUUAUACAAGAAAUUUUACCUUUUAAUGUAAAUUUUAUUAUUAUUUUCACUUUUUUUUAAGUGAAAAAUAUAUCCACACCAAUUUUAAAAUUCCAUAUCAAUUUUUUAAUUAAUAUAUAUUGUAUUUUGUAUUUUUAAAAUUAAUAGUAAAUUCUUUUGAGACUUACUUUAAAAGGCUAAUGAUUUUUAAAAGCUAAUUAAAACAAAUUAGUAAGUUUGAUUUUAAAAUCUUCAAAAGUUAUUUUUAAACAUAUAGGACAAAUUCAUAUUUUUUGUUACUAUAUUAUAUAUAAAAGGUAUUAUUAUUUUUAAAAUACCUUCCAAUUUUUAACUUUAAAAAUAGAAAAUAGAAAAUACAUUCAAACAAACACUAAGUAAUUUAAAGUAGAUUUUUAGAAAAUCUAACCAUACUUUUUUUUACUCAUGAUAGGAUCAAAUUUUAAGGUUUCUUUUCAUUAAAAUAUGAUUUAUAAGGAUGGAUAUGGAAAUGUUCCAAUGGAAAAUGUAGUACCUAUGAUACCAAAGGUAAAACCCACACAAGAAAAAUAUAGUACCUAAAGAAUGAAAAUGUAGUAUCUAUAUAUAUAAAUAUCACUAAAUCUACUAAGAUGAGAAUGAGAUUACUAAAUAUAGGAAUCAUCAAGCCGAUAUGACAUACCAAAGAUUGCCCUUAUACCAUAAAAAUGUAGUGCUUAUACACCUUGUAUAACUAAAUGUCAUGCUUAUCUAAAAUGGUCAUGACACCAUGAGUUUUAUUAAAUGUUUUUUAAACUAGAUUGAUUAUUGAACUAUAAAAGCUAUUGUUUAUGGUUUGAUAGUUAAACCAUGAUCAAACUGAUAAUAUAUAUAUAUAUAUAUAUAUAUAUAUAUAUAUAUAUAUAUAUAUAUAUAUAUAUAUAUAUAGAUAUAUGUUAUUGUACAAAAAUAAUAUAGAAAUUGAUACAUGACAUCUUGGUUGAGUUGUUGCAUUUUCACUAGGAGGUCCAGGGCUUAAAUCAUUUCUAGUGACUUUGGCCUAUGAGUGAAAUCCUAAAGUAAUCAUAUAUUCUUUAUGGAUUGAAUCAAUGUUGAUGAAAACCGAUAGUAAUAGAUAUUAUCAAUACAGACACCUUGUUCCUUUAGAUGAUCUUAAGAAUAUGUGAUCAUAAAAUAUGUGGUUGCAGUAAUUCUUUACAAGCUUAUCUAUUUUCAUGAAAUCUCAAAUCCUUUCCGAUGCAAGGACAUUUUUCUUCAUCUGAUAAAUCUCAAUCCCACAUUGAAAGUCACAUAGACUUAAAGUGCUAUUAAUAUUGAGCUUGUGUCAAAGUUAGUAGUAAUUUUGACCCAUGAGUGAAAUCCUAAAGUGAUCAAUAUAUUUCUUAUGAAUUGGGUCAUUAUUGAUGGAAACCGAUAACAGUAGAUAUUCUCAAUACAGACACCAUAUCCUCUUUGAUGAUCAUAAGAAUAUGUGAUUAUAAAAUAUAUAGUUGCAGUAAUUCCUUACGGCUAUGUUUGGUUCUCGGAAAGUUUGAGGGAAAAUGCAAAUAAAAGAAAAUAGAGAGGAAAAGUAAAAGGAAAGAAAAAAUGAAGGAAAAUAAAAAAUAGAGUUAAAGAUAAUAAAUUAUUUUUAUUUGCUACUUUAAACUCAUUUUAUUUAUUUUAACUCAUUAAUAUCAAGAUUAAAUAAAUUUAAAAUGCAUAAGUUUCUAACUAAUUUUAAUUAUAUUUAAUUUUCUUCGGAAUAUUUUAUAGGACAAUCAAACAUGAUAAAAUAAUUUUCCUUAAUAUUUUUUUCCUUUCCUUUGCAUUUUUCGGAACCAAAUAUAACCUACAAGUUUCUUUAUUUUCAUGAAAAGUGGCAUAUUUAUCUAAACUAAUCAUUAAACCAUGGAUUGGAUCAUCCAUGACUUUCCUAAGAUAUCGAUGAGACUACUAACAAUAAGAAUCACUAAGGUUAAUAUGAAAUUGAUGCAUGUAGAUGAGUUAGAAUUUAUGAUAUGAAAGGUAAUACCUUCUUCAUUAAAAGAUAAUACUUGGAUUAAAAAAAAAUAGAACCUAUAUACAAUUAUGUCAUACUUAUCUAAACUAACAACUAACUAUAACAAUUAUGAGGUGGAUAUGAACUUAAUACAGAUAUGUAAAUACAAACAUAUAGUAUCUACAUAACAAAUUGAUAAUACAUAUGUAAUGAAAAAAUAAGAAAAUAACUCAUAUAAGUUACAAGGCCUCCAUAUAUGGGGAACAUUCAUUGACAUUCCUUACAUGUUGAUCAAUCAUUCAAUUGUCUUUGUGAACUAGCUAAGCUUUGGUAAAUAGUCUUUAUAAUAAUUAUGAUAUAUUGUUAAUAAUAGCACCAAUACCACUGUAAUACACAUUUAUAUUCAAAACAUAUGUAGACAACCUAAGUUAACUUUAAUAUUACAAUCGUCAAAACAUCAAUUACAAAGAAUCCAACAAUAAAAGUGAUUGGGGAAUCAUAUGAACAAGUUCGUAAAAAAUGGUCAUGUGUAACUUCAUGUUGACACUUUAGUGUGUUGGAUGUAGAAGAUUCAUCGAUUCUCUUCCAUCUUGGUUUAUAUAACGCUCCUGUUCAGAUAACCCGUUCUUUACAAUUAUAUCAUUUGUAUACACCCCUCUUAUAGAAGAUAACAUUUUUUUAGCAUUCAAGUCAAAAAUCAUAAUCUCUGCUUGUGCCCAACAAACACAACAUAAUAUGUUUCCAUAUUCAAUAUCUAGUGACAAAAAUGUUAUUGGUAAAAUUUUGAUAAUAUAUUCGAAGAUAAUCAUCUUAAAUGAUGAUAUUAAUUAAAGUAUCUUAGAGUUAAUACCACAAAGAACAAAACAAUAAAAUUAAAAAGCCCUAUUCCAAUAUCAUAAAUAGUGUCUCCUUUGCAACUACCUAUUUCAAUUUUUUAAAUCAUUAAGAACAAAAUAACAAAACAUACAAUGGAUGGGUCCUUAUAUCAUACCAAACAUAUUUUAUACACAAAUCUUUAUGUUUAACCUAAUAAAAUUUCAUAAAAAUUAUUUCAAUGUUCAUAAAAUAUAAAUUAUUCUAACUACGAAUUGAAUCUAUUCUUAGUGCUAUGUCUAUAGCACUAUGAUUGAAUUUUUUUUUUUUUUUUUUUGAAGGGGAAAAAUGGGUAAUCUAUUAAAAUUUUAAUUAAUCCAAAGGAAAUAUCUACAUAACAAGUAAAUAAUAAAAAUAUGGUGAUGAAAAUUGAUCUGAAGGAAAUAUCUACAUAAAAAUAAAUAUAAUAAGAACAGUGGUGAUGAAAAUUGAACAAAUAAUUCUUUGAAGGAAAUAAAAUAAGGCAUAGAAAAUUUUGUUUUGUUGAAAUUUUAAUAUAAGAAUCAUAAGAUUCUAUAAACAGUACAUAAAAAAAAUAUAAUAAACUCAAAGCUGUUAUGAAAACUUCCAAUAAUGCGGAUUUAGAACCCAAAUAACCUCUUUUAAAGCUUAGUCCAUUUACUUCUUUCGGAGCAUCACCAUUUCUUAGUAUGUGGAAAAAAAAUUACUAAUUUUACAUCUAUUUUUUCUUUCUUUCUUUUUUCUUUUUUUUUUCCUUUUUUAAGAUUUUCAUCAAAAUUUUCACCAACCAAAUCUUGGAUGAACGUUUAUAAACAGGAAUGUAACAAUCAAUUAUUAUAUAUAGAUAUAAAAUUUUCUAUUCGGCUAAGCCCAUUGCCGGCUAAGACUAAUCCAUGAGCCUAUGACUCGUGACGGCCCAACAACCACACGGCAGAAAAUUGAUGGGCGUGAGAAAGAUUCGUCAUUGGUUGUCGGGGCAAACGCUGUCGUUUUAUCCUUCCAUUAUUUAUUUAUUUUCCAAAGAACAGUAAGUCCGACACCCCCACCAGUCUCCACCCACAAAAUGGAUACCUCAAUCUCUAUCCUUUUAUGGUUUAUACAGUGGGCACUACGUGCUCUCCAUUUUCUUCUUUUUUUUUAUUUUCUCAAAACCCACUUUUAGGCCUCGUUUGUCAUGCCAUUUUGUUUUUGGCUUAGUGGGUAUGCCCAAACCAAAACCAACUCCAUGAUUUUUAAAGUACGAUAGGAAUAUUUUAAAUUUUGUAUUAACUUGGAUUAAUUUUUCCCAUUACAAAAAAAUAUUUUAAUUUUUAUAAUUCUCACGUGUAAGGAGACAAAUAAAAUUUGAAGUCAUAAAAAAACAAAUAUGCAAAUUGCAAUCUAUUAUAAUGAACUAUCAAUUUUCUUUCAAGUUUAAACUUAUACGAUUUGGAUUAAAUAUCCAUAUUAUACUUCUUAAUAUUUUGAAUAUGAAGUUGGGUAAAUAUAUAUAUAUUUUUUUAUGAUUGUAUUUUGAUCUUAUACUCGGUCAUGCUAAUUCUUCUCCAGGCUUUGUUAAUUCUUGGAUUAAAAAGAAAGAUUGUUAAAACAAAUAAUAUCUAUGAUGUCUGUAUCAAUUGUUGGAGCAAAGCGGAAAGCCAUCAAUUGUGAAUUUAUAACACAUUAAUGAAGACAAGACUGUCAACCAUGGGAAGGAAAAAAAAAAUGGUUAUUGGAGAAUCAUCUGGUGCAUGAGAUUGAAAUUGCGUCAAUUUCUAUGCUAAUGCUCCCAUGGAGUACCAAAUUUUUUAGAAGGAAGGUUUAAGUGAAAUAUUUUUUUUGUCCUUUUUAGCUGUUGCUAAACCAAUGAAGAAAGUAAAAGACAGAGGCACGUUCAAACUUUGAAUACAUGCAACAAUGGUUGGUGGAGGGGUGGUCGAGAGAUCAGUUAUUGGGACCCAAUGUGGACAACUGGUUCGUGACACCCCAUGCAUAGGAUUUAAUUUUUGAUGGGCCGAUUUCAGGCCUCUAAAUGAUGUCAUUCAUGGCUGCCAUUAAGCUCUGCAUCAGAAUACCCCAUUGCCAGUUGAAGAAGAAGAAGAAAGAAAGAAAGAAAGAAAGAAGAAUCCGUUGCUGAGGCGAGCCGGGUCUUUUUUUCUUUUUGUGUGUUGAAUCUUCGAAAUAUCAAACACCCAGAAGGAGAUUUGGUUUGUGGUUUGUGGGUUUGAACAGGUGAAAUGGAGGGGACGGAGGGAAGGGAAGAUCGAUCUUUGGCUGAAACCCCGACAUGGGCGUUUGCAACUGUUGUUGCUGUCAUGGUUGCUUUUGGGUUCUUCUUCCACUUUUCUUUGAAGCAUUUUAAAAAGGUAAAGAGAGCUUCACUAUCUAUCUCUCAGUUUAAAUCUUGAUAUUUGGUUUUUUGUUUUCUUCUGUUUCUCAUGAAUCUUGAUGAUUUAUCUGUAACAGUGGUUGGAAAAGACCAAGAGGAAAUCUCUACUCGCUGCUCUGGAGAAGAUGAAGGACGGUUAGGAAUUGACUUUGUUAUUAAGAAUAGGUUUUCUUAUUAGGUUCUGUUUGAUUUCUGAGAAAAUGUAGGAAGAUAAAAUAACUCACGCUUUGAAUCCUACAAAGAAAGAAAAUGCUAAUCCUAAUUCCUAAAUAGUUCAUUAUUUAGAGAGAAAAGAUUUAUCAAUUUAUCUUAGCUUUUUCCUGGCUGCCUUAAUUGAGUUGGGUUUUCAUUUACUUGGAAACUGAAACACCAGAAAACUUGAACUUGUCUUCUUUCAUUUUCUUAGUGGCUAAAUGAAACCUUGAUGUUUUAAUUUUGUUGAGACAUUUGGAUAUGUAAUAUUUCUUCAUGUGGUUGUUUUCCUUAUGCAGAGCUAAUGCUUUUUGGGCUUUUAUCUCUGCUGAUGGGUCAUUGGACUCUUUUUGUGGCCAAGAUUUGUGUUAAAACAUCAGUUUUGAGCAGCCGAUUCUAUCCCUGUGUAUUAGAAAGUGAUAUUAAACCCCUUGAGCACAUUAUCGUUUCAGAUUCAAAUUAUUUUAAUGACUCAGCUUUCCCAGAUGAGCUGACUACCAGGCACAACUAUUGUCCCAAGGUAAUUUCCUCCAUACUUAUUAUAUACUGGUGGUGCUUUGAAGUUAGUUAAGCUCUUAAUAUGUUAUAGUUAUUAGCUGUUUCUCUAAUUCAGAUAUCUUGUAUCUACGGUCACUUGGAUUGUCAUUAAUCAACACAACCUCAUGAUGCUUUCUUAGAUCCAAGAGCAGUUAAUAGAAUGGAAACACGUUGCCCCUAGAGUUGUCCUUCUCAAAAUUUUUACUCCCAAUAAGACAGGAUUCUCAAUUCUAUUGGUGAGUUGUGCUUGUUGGAUGGUAUAACUUUGGAAAUGGCCUCUACUAAUGAGCUCUAAAAGUCCCUGAAUCAAAUAAUUAGUGAUUAGCUGUCAAAAAAAUGUACUUGUUUAGUUUUUUCUUGAUAUAUAUAAUUUGGAAAAUUGAAAAGGUGGAUACAGGUUAAGCAGAAUGUCUCUAGUAGAUUAACCUAUCUACUGCAUUUUGGGGGUUAAAGUAGCAUGAAAGAUUUGGAGUUGUUGGAUAAAUUUUGGAGAUAAGAUUUUCAGAAUUAUGAGCUUAAUGUUGAUAUUUUGGUUUUUAUUUUGUGGAAGAAAAAUUAUAAGCAAUCAGGAUUUUUCUUUAUUCCUGUAUGAUUACUCUUUGUGUCAUUUUUUGGCAUAAGGAAUAGGAGUAUUAGGAAACUACAGGGUUUCUGUAGAGUAAAUGAUUCAACAAAAGAAUACAUGGAAGGUAACAGAUUUUAAUAACAUAUGAAUACAUGUUAAAAUUCCGUGAGGUCUAAUUGAAGAAUAUACUACAUUGGAAUCAAACAUGCUCCCAACCAAAUCACCUGUGUUUUCUGAACAGAAAAUCCUGUCACUAGAAAUUUCCUAUGCCAUAUUCCGGGCGUAGGACUGUCAUUUGCUUCCUCAGAAAAAACCAAGAAUGUCAUGAAGAAGAAAUUUUCUGCUCACCUUUUUGCACUGUCUGACUGUUGUAAAUAUGCUAAGAAGUUAUGAUAAUAUGUAAAACUUAUUGGAGAUGCUUUGGAAGGUGAAUUGAAUUUUUAUCAACUAUUGACUUUGGUUUGGUAGGAUAUCUUUCAACACCCGUAAUUUGUUAUCCAGGGUCAAGAAUCUUUUGCUUCAUAUGAAAGCCUUGAGCAGCUUCAUCGUCUAUUAUUUGUUCUAGGUGUUAUCCAUGUCUCUUACAGCUUCGUUACCAUUGCCCUGGCCAUGAUUAAGGUAAAUAUUCCUCCUUCUAGGUUAUUUUCCUUUUUGCAUCUUCGGAGUUUAACCUUUUUCCAGAGAGCAUUGAGAGUUUUCUUCUGCUUCAUGCAGAUUUAUAGCUGGAGAAGAUGGGAAGAUCAAGCAAAGUCAAUGGCCAUUCAGGGCCUACAAGGUUCUUCAUUUUCCAAUUGAAUGUAAUGUGUUUUUGUACAUUACUUUUUUCAUUUGAAGUUCUUAAUAUAGGUUCUUAUGGAGCUGCCCCGAACAGUAUAAGAAUGAGGCGACUAUCUACUUUCAUUUUUCACCAUACAUCCCAUCCAUGGAGCCAACAUAGAGUUUUUGUUUGGUUGGUAAAGUCACAUGCUUGAAAUCCCAUAGCUUUGUCUGGUUUGUACUAUUUCAUUGAUAUAAUUGAGAAAUAAUGUUUUGGUUGUGCAUUUAGAUUCUUCAAGGACAAAGAAAAUUUGACCUAGCAAAUCCUUAUCCUAAUUAAUUGGUAAAUGAACUGAUGUACCACUUCCUUUUUCCUUAAUUUUUCUGAAUCAAUGUGAACCCCAUGGAUUGAAUUUCAAUGAACAGAAUUUGAAGAGGUUGAAAAAUAAAAAAUAAAACAGGUCUGGAAACGAAAAAAAGGGGAGUUCGACAAAAAGAUUAUGCUGGAAAAUACAUGCAGUUGCUAAGUACAAUUUAUUUAAUAUGCUAGUGGCUCAGUCACUACACAUGACAGUUUCAGAAUAGUUCAACAAACUUUUGGUGUAAAAAACAAGCACUUGAUUGGAUAGUUGUGACAACCCUUGGAAUGAAGGUCUCGAUCCCUUUACUUGCAUGCAUACAUGUCUAUAAUGUUGUUGAUGAACUUCAAUUUUAAUAUUGAUCAGAUUUAUUCUUAGCACAAUAAUUUCUAUUACACAUAUCUAAAUGUCAUUUGCAUUUGAUUAUUUCAAUAAGUAUUUUGUUCCAUGAUAAAUGAAUCCUCUCUCUACUUUUGUUUUCUUAAUAAACAACUUUAUAUGCUAAAUAGGUUCCCAUGCUCAUUGUUACAAUGAAUUUCAUUUUUCAGUGUCGUACUUUUGUCUAAAAUUUCUAACGUUUACUAUAGUUUGUCUCAGUUAGUUUCCUGCAUAUAGCUUGCAAAUUUCUCUGUUUUUUGUUUUUGCAUUUGGUAUUUUCUGGAGAAUUGUGAUUUUGGUUUAAUUUCAUGAUUUUGUACUCAAAUCAUUCCAAAUUUCAGCUUUGUUUCAGCCGCCAGUUUUGGAGUUCUAUAAAUCGAGCAGACUACAUGGCUUUGCGCUUGGGCUUCAUAACUGUAAGUAUAUUAUUUGUUACAAUUCAAAUGGAAGAUUCCCCACCUCUUAUAUUUUUGUGUUGAUAAUGUGAACCAGUGAUUAGAUCUUCAUAAUUUUAUAUAGAGGUAUUUAUGGCAGUCAGAUUUACAUUUGAACAGUUCUUCCACACAAACUAAUUGCUAAGGGUCUUAUUGAAUCUUAGGAUUAGCUGUAGUGGGAUUGGAGCAAGGAAUCAUAUAGGUGAACUUGACAAGCUGGAAAUUGUAUGCUGCAAAUUUUGAGCUUGAUUUUAUGAAUGAGUGAUAAAUUGUGAAACAAAUUAUUGCAUUCAUACUAUACCACAAAUUCAUAUCCAAGAACUAGAUACACAUUUCUUUUUUCUUUCAUACCCUCACUUGGUUCAUGAGUGAAUGAGGAAAAAAUAAAAAAUAAAAUCAUGAGCCUUAAUGAUGGGUUGUUUGUCUUUCUCCCUAUAAGUGAUGAACUAGAUUUGAAAGGUCAUGCAAUUAUUAGGCCAGUGUUAAUAAUUUAUGAUUCAGAAUUGUAAUUUCUUUUCCCUCUUAACUAUUUCACAACCAAAUAGAGAAAAAGAAAAAUGGAGCAGUGAAGUUCAUGAAAUGAAAACUUGCUUUGCUAUACAUUCUUAAAUUUGCUGAUAUCUUGUCUCAUCCUUUUUUUAAAAAAAAUUGUAGACACAUGGACUUCAUUUGUCAUAUGACUUCCAUAACUAUAUGCUCCGAAGCAUGGAGGAAGAAUUUCGGGAUAUCGUUGGCAUUAGGUGCCACCUCUUUACUCUACUUUGGGUAUUUGAGUUUCCUUAUAAUAAAUUAUUAUAAUGCAUAUCAUUUUUUUCCUCCAUUUUAUGAACAUAUUUUCAUGACUUACAUUGAGGUCAUUGUGCAUGGUUUGGGCAGUUCCACCUUUAAGUCUGAAACAUAAGUUAUUUUAUCUUCUAGUAUGAUUUUUAAUUUAAGUAUUUGAUCAGAGAAAAAUGGAAGCUUUAUUCUUUAGAUCCUAGUUUCAUGCACUGAUAUCAAAUUGCUCAUAAGAGGACAGAAAGGGUAUGUGAUCAGAGACCUUACAAUGGUACUAAAAAGUAGGUCAGUGGCUGAGCUAGAAAAUUAGUUUGGAUGAGAGGGGAGAGUAGUUGGGAAAAAUCUUGGACUUCAUUUCAGGGGGAGGGGAAAAGGGCCAAAACUUCAUUUGUAGCCUAGUGGUACUUGUAAAAUGCAUGUAGAAUUCCUUGGGAAGUGGAUCAACCCCUCUUCGUGCAUAAUUUUUUCAAAAAUUUCAUAGGGGCAAGUGUCCCUGGGCACAAUGUGGCUCCGCCACUGUAGGUCAUAGACUGGAUUGGUUAAAUGAUACUUGGUAUAUUGUCUGUUCCAUAUUGGGAAUUGGGUAAUAUGGCUAUGAAUUUCAAUUCUGAGCUAGCAAAGCCUCAGAAACUCUCAGAUAGCAUCUUUCUUAACCCCAUGUUUCUACUAAUUAUCAAAGCUUUUUAGUUAACAUUAGUCCUCAAUAUUGAUGGUUUGCAUUCUAUGUUUGUUACAACAUAACUAUUAUUUACUUCUUUGCUUCUUUGAGUCCAUGUAAAUGCAUUAUGUGGAUGUUAAAAUUAGACAAAAAUAAGAAUGUAAAGUUCAUCUAGAAUCACAAAAUGCCUCAAACACUAAUCAAAUUUAUACAUAACUCAUUAACUCACGAAGACAAUUUAUUUGCAAUUAGGCCUUUUUUUCGCUGAUAAGCAAUUAUUUAGAACUAAUAUUUGAUUUUUUAAUUUCUUGCGUCAAUUUAGGUGGUGUUUGGAUACACUUCUUAAUUUAUGUUUAUAAAAACAGAAGUUAGUAGGAAAUCUUGUAUAAACAGUAAAGAUUUGUUUAAAAAAUUUAAUAUUGAAAAUUUUUAUUGACUCAAAUUUUAAAAAAUUUGGUAGUUUUUAAAAACAUAAGGAAAGUUCCUACUUUUUGUAUUAGAGCUUCUAAUUUUAUAUAGAAUUUACUACUACUUUCCGUUUUUAAAAACAAAAAACAGGAAGUGUAUCCAAAUUCCAAAUGCACCUUAAUUUUUUUGAAAUGGGUGGUUUUUCCUCAGUAUGUUGUUCUGUGGCUCGAAUCUUAGAUCUUCAAAAAUGAUGUGUCUUCCUUAGAAAUGGAGUUAUCUUAGAUUCUGAAAAUGAUAAGAGGAAAAACCUUAAAACAUUGGCUAAUAGGUUUCCUCUAAAGUUCAUGAUUUGUGAAACACCUGCCUGGAAGGUAUCAGGUGGUAUUGUCAAAUAGAGACCAACACUGAAGAAAAAUAUCAUGUCAAAUUUAGUAAAAGAGUAUUUGUUGCAGCAGCUGCUAAUUUGAAUACACAUGGACACUUUGGUCAUUCUCCUUUUAGAUAAAUGCAUCUGGAAAAACUGCUUUUGCUUUGAUGUUUCCUGAUACAAAUAGACAUACUGUCAGUCUGUCACCAAUAGAAUACUUGUGUGAAGAACUUCAGAUAAUGCUUAUUUUCUUAGACUGCCACUUUAAUGUGGCUAUGUAAAAACCAGUGAAAUUGUCAUGCCGUAGCAAAAAGGAAGAAAGAAAAAGCUACAUAUUGGGAUAUCACGUUGCAGUAAAUCACUCACAAUUCCUUUUGGCCUUUUUUGCAGUGUGCCUCUCUGGAUUUAUGCCAUUUCAUGCAUUUUCCUAAAUUUUCAUGGUAAUUUCCAUUAGUCCUGAACUUUCUUCUUGCCAAGCUAAUGAUUGAAGAACUUAAAUAUGGUAUCAAGCAACCACACUGAAUGCUUCCCCAGUUUCAAGAUUAUUGCUUGAGCUGCAAUUGUGUUUGUUUUCUGCUGAUGUACACAUACCAGUUUAGUUGCAUCAGUGUGUCUGAAUUGCCAUGAUGCAGAAUCAAAGAUUACUUCAAUGAAGUGUAAUGCAAAUUAAUUUGCAUUUUUUAGGACCACUUUCAGAGUGUUUGAACGAUUCAUGGAAAUUGAACAGCUCAACGUCUUUUACAUGGGAUAAAAAGGUAGAGAUCUGUCACAUUUUGGGGCCAUUAAAGAAAAGGGGAGCCAUCACAAAAUAUGAAGUCAUUUGAUCUCUAAAAAAAGGGUUGUGUGAUCCAGUUAGAAUUUACUGCCCCUUUCGCCAUUGCCCCCAUUCAUAGUGAUACCAUUAUGGGGUGUGUAAGGAAAAUUUACAUAGACACAAGUUUAGGUGACAGUGGCUUCCGAUAUUCCUCCCAUUCAUGUUGACAGGGUGAGAAAAGAAAAUUAUACAUGAAAUAUAAAUGAAGCAAUUCAAUUUCCAACAUCUGAGCAUACUCUUAGCUUUUGUUUAUUAAAUUUCUAAUCCUUGUAUUUACUUUUCUCUCUCUAGCUGUUGAACUAACCUCUAGAGUAUGGACUGUGUUGAUCCAUAACCAGGAACCAAUGUUUACUAUUGGCUUUCCUUCCUUCCAGCAAUUGUAAGUCCUCGCCAUUAAAAUAUCCUUUGAAUUCUUUAUUCUUUAUCACCCAGAAUUACGUUUUACUAAUUUUUCUCUCCCUUCUUUGAUGCAUAUAAAAGUUAAUCCUGCUGGUUGGCACAAAGCUGCACCGCAUAGUGGUAAAGUUGGCAGUUGAAAUCAUGGAUACAUCUCCACAGUUGGGAAAUCAUCAAGUAAAACUGAGGGAUGAGCUCUUCUGGUUUGGGAGGCCCAAGCUCCUUCUGUGGUUAAUACAAUUGAUAUCAUUCCAGGUGAAUGAGGAAAAAUCUUUAGUAUAUCAUUUCUAAAAUUUUAUCUUGAAACUGAUUUCUAUUCAUGGGCUGUUGAUUUGCAGAAUGCAUUUGAGAUGUCAACAUUCAUCUGGUCACUGGUAAGAGCUGUUAUAAGCUUAACUAAUUCUUAUAUGGUGAUGUUCUUUGUCUAGUAAUUAAAUAUACAUGAAGGACAUGUCCAUCAUAAAUAUAAAGACAGUUAUAUCAUAGCAAUAAAUUCAGAGCAUAGGCUAGGGAAGUGGACUCCAUUCAUGGAGUAGUACCUGUGAGUUUGUUUAGGAAUAGGAUCCUAUCUAUAGUACUACUGUUCAAUUUUUAACUGGCUAAAUUUGGAAUAAGUUCUAUACAAAUAUCCCACAUUUCCUGAAAACAGGGUUCUUGCUUUUUGUAUCAGAUAACCAAUUAUCUAAUGCUUGUUAGUUAAUUAGAUGGAAAUUUUCACUUGGUUGAAUAUAAGAAGCAAUAUUGCUUCUAUUGUUUCCUAUAAUAGAUGUUUAUGCCUUUCAAGAUCCAAACUGAAACAUAUAUAUCAUGUUAAGGUUUUAAUAUCAUUGAACAUCCGGUUUCUAUUCAUAAAUGGAUACUGGCAUGGGUUGUAGUUGACAUUUUACAGAGUGCUUAUGGAUCACACACAACAUGAUGGGCAAGUAAAAGUGUGUUUAUGUAAUGGGACAGAUUGUACUGAUUUAUGAUGCUAAAUCUAUUUUGAUUUCCAGUGGGAAAUUAGAGGACCUUCCUGUUUCAUGGAGAAUCGUAACUUUGCUGUUAUCCGCUUGAUAUUUGGGUAAUGUAAUCUGUUCAACUUUACGAGUCAGAACCCUUUUGCUUUCUUUUCUCCUACGAUUGUGAUGCAUAUGUGUUGAGCAUGGCAUUGCAAAUCCAGUUGAUCAGGAGAAACUUGUAUAUUUAUAUGUUAUUAAUUACUGCAGGGUUGUCUCCCAGUUUUGGUGUAGCUUUAUCACAUUCCCACUCUAUGUUAUCAUUACACAGGUUUGCCUUGAAGCUUUCUCUUCUUCGGGCCUUAAUCAAUCUCUUCUUCUUCGUCUUCUUCAUUCUAAUCAAUAUUACUUUGCCAUGUGGUUGCAGAUGGGCUCCAGGUUCAAGAAAACUAUAAUGUCUGAAAAUGUAAGAAAAUCACUCCAUGGAUGGCAGAGGAGGGUAAAGGCCAGACACAGCGGUGCCCCUUUUCCACUCCUCACUGCAACAUCAACAUCAUCCCUGUCAUCCUUGUGCCCUUUAGAGGAUGAGAUGGACAGAACUGAUCAUGGUGCCUCAAGCAGCAAGGAGGGAAGCUACUCAAUACUCGAAGACACCUCAACUCCAUACCAACCAGUCUCUCUAGCACAAAGUCCAAGUUUUGAAGUCUCACCAAGCAACAAGUCACCGGUCCCAUUGCAUUGUGAUCCAAUCCAUGACAGUUAUCACAGUGACGAGGAGGAGGAUCAAAAAUGAUAAUGGCAACCAUAUAGCAGAUGAUUCCCCUCUUCUUCCACCUUCUUGAACCUCUUUACUGUUGCUUGUAUUUUGUUUUGUUUGGCUUUCUUCUGUUUGUUUCUUUUUCUGUUUUCUGGCUUUUCUUGGGGGGUGGAGACAAAAGUUUUCUAUUGAGCAGCUGUUGUUGAACAUCCUAUGAAUUGCUUAAAGAAAAUUAAUUACUUAAUUAUAAAAAUUAUAUAUAUAUUUGUAAAAAAAUCUUAUUAUAGAACUUUUUUUUUUUUUAUCAUAAUUGCAUUAUGGGUGAUCACAUACUUAUGAGUGAUCGCAUGCUUAGUAAAAUGCACCCUAAUGUUAAUUCAUAUAGUUUUUAUUUUUUUUCAAGUUGUAAUUAUUAUCUUAAUUUAUUUUUCAUAAAUUUAACUUUGAAUUAUUAUUAUUCUUAUUUUUGAAAUUUAAUUAAAUAACCACUAUAUAAAUAAUCAUGAAUUUAUGCAUAUAUAUAUAUAUAUAUAUAUUUCAUAUGUUUACACAUGCACAAGAUAAUUAUAUUAAAAGUACAAAGAUAUUUUCAUAUUUUUAUAAACAUCUAUAACAACAUGCAUGUGUAAACAAUAUCCUAGUGCUAUAAAAAAAACAAAGAAAGAAAAUGAAGAAAAACAAGUAACCAUGUUUACAAUAGGUAGAUUUGUAUAAGCCUUGUACACUUGGUAUAAGUAUCUUACACAUUUAGUACAAACGACUAAUACACGUGCAAAAAUGUAAAAAAAAUAAAAUUAUAAUUGACAUUUAUGUACGUGUAAACAAUAUGUCAAAUGAUUUGAUAUCGAAAACAAACUAUGAGGAUCAAGAAAAACAUACAAAUAGAGAUAUGUGAGUGAUAUAUGAUAUUCUUGUUCAAAAAUUUUCAUGGACUUGAGAGCAAUAAUGCAGAUUAUACACCUUUCAAAGCUAUUAUUAGCCUCAUCUCCCCCUAAAAUAUAAUUGAACUAAGGUAAAAAGUUAUUAUCCCAAACAAUAUCUAAGUUAACAUUUGAUAUAUCUUUCAAAUAUUGAAGUAUCCAUUUUGUAGGUUGCUAAUAGACCUUUUCAAGGUGAUGAGUAUAUCUCUCAUUACAAAAUUUGUAUUUAAGUAUUUGACUUAAGACAAAUAAUAACAUAUAUAAUAUUUCUAACUACAUUGGCAUAAAGAACACAUGAAAUAUGCACCACUUUUGCAAUGUACUUUUUCUACAAUAAGUACAAUUUGUUACUUUUAAAUCAUAAUUAAUUUUCAUGUCCAAUAUUUUCUUUACAACUUCGAAGUCUUUUAUCCCAAGCUUUCUCUUACUUCAGACAUAUUAUGAAACAAAGCUACGUAUCUUAAACAAAACACUUAAGAAAGGAACGAAUUUGGUUUUCAAAACUUUUUCGAAAACAAGUCUAAUUAAGCAAUAAAUAUAAAGAGAGAAUGAUAGAGAGAUGCAAACACGAUUUUGAUUUUAUGGUGGUUCAACAAUUCCUACCUACAUCCACUCUUUUUAACCUCCUUUUCGAGUAAAGGUUUUGCUAGUUCACAACUUUCAACACAAGCCUUCAAGUUUCUACACUUCGAUUAAAUGACUCCAAUGAGCUCUUACAAUACUCUUCAAGUUCAAUCCCAACUCCGAAGCUUGAUACACUAAACCUUGCUCAAUUAAUGAGGGUUUAAUCUCACUUAACCUAUUUCAAUGAUUGAUCAAAUACAAAAGAAGUUAGGAUGAACACAAAUGGGGUGCGCUAAAGAUGAUUUGUAAGUGAAUAAUUAAUGCACUAGAGGAUUGAGAACUUUGAAAAGAGAGAAAUAAGUAGGUAGAAAAUUCAAUGUAAGUGUUCUUUUCUCGGUAAAUGAACACGAGCUCUCAAUUUAUAGAAAACCAAACUUGAACACCUCAAAUAGCAAAAUAAGGCCUCAAUCGGUCGAGCUCCGGUUUGACCAAUUAACUAGUUGUUAGGUAUUUAAUGCAUUAUAGAUGACCAUUGGUUUUUUUUUUUUUAAUCUUCGAUUGACCUUUAACUAGGCUUCGAUUGGACCUUGACCACGAAAGGUGAAGCUUCAAAUAGGAAUGCAAACUCUUUGGGAAAAAAAGAAAAUCUUUUUGACCUUUAACCAAACCUCCACGGGGAAAAGGUAACUGGUUGAAUCGGUUCUUAAAUAAUUGAGUCAAUUUAGGUUCCUCUUGACUGAUUGAACCUGUUUUGGUUUAAAACCUUCAUUUUUUCAUCCUAAAAACUUUCUAACAUAUGCAACAUCUUUAAGGGACUUUAUAAGUCAAUUUGAAAUCUUUUUGUUUAAGGUUUGUGAGAUUUUACUCAAUUUUAGAUAAUUGAUAAAACAUUAAAACUUAAUUUUAUGAAAACCAAGUGUGAAUGUAUGCAUGAAAAUGAUUUAAAUCCUAAUUGGACCCAAAAGGAUUCAUUUUCCUGGGCUUGAUAAGUCUUUAUGCAUCCGUAACUUUAAUUUUCUUAAAUUAUUUUAAUCAAAAUUGUCUUUUCUUUGGAUUUUCUUGUUUAUAACUUGAAAUUUGACUUGACUUAAAAUCAUUAAUUCACUUAACCAUAUUUUGUUAUCAUCAAAACGAAUUUUAAAGAAUACUUAGGCUAACACAUAUCAUGAGAGGUAAUUAACAUGUCAUUAGAAAAUUAUAUUAAAUAAAUAAAAGAAAUAUUAAACAAUUGAUUGUAAUAAACAUAAUCAUCAUAUUCACUUUUAAAAUAACUAUAACAAUCAUAAAGUAUACAACAGUAUCAAAAUUGAUUUAAGCAAUAAAGAGAUAUAUUCAACAAGCAAACAUGAUCCUCUAUACAUGGAAUAAUGAAUCCCUUAACCAAAUGCAUAUAAAUCCAUUUUUCCAACUCACUACACAAAAACGCAAUCUUGAAUUAUUGUCCUAACAUUGUAUCAAAGAGAGUGAUCAUUGCAAGUAAUAUUAUAAUUCAACUAUAUUUGACAAAUGGAGAAAGCACUUUCCACUAUAAGUGGACCAUAUCCUUUUGAACGAUCCUAGACCCCAAUAUAGGAGCCUAGCAUUGAUGAAUGGGUUGUGUCUUACGACCAACUUGUUAUGGUGAUGUAGAUGAUGGUAAACUCAUAAAAGUCUAACUAGUGAUCCCGACCUUAGAAGGCCCAAAAGGUGUUUAAUAAAAGAGCUUAAACAAAACGGGAUUGCUCGCAGAACUAUCCAUCUUGAUUGGGAUAAAGUAGUAUGACUAGGAAGUUGCUAGUGGUCGAGGCAUGCAUAUACUAGCAUAACCUAUCUAUAGAGAAUACACCCAACUACCCAAUGAAAAAUGGUAGAGAUAACCUUGACAACCAAUGUUCUUGUGCAUAACAACACCAUCGCCUAAAAACGCAUAACUAUCUAACCAUUAGCAUCGUACUAAAAUACUCAUAUGCCAACAUGAUAAUUGUUAGCUCAAUCAGGGUUAGAUGAUUAAGGUUAGGGUGAUCUAUAUAAGAAACAUUGUAACUCCAAAAGUGAAAAGGUUUGUUCAACUACACACAUCGAUCAACUCUAAUCCCUUCACCAUAUAACCAAACAAUUAUUUUUAGCUUGCAUUCCUUAUUUUUCUACUUAACAUUCAAAAUGUUACAAUUGAAGUUUCUUCACUAUCCUUAUUUGCAAGAGUUAGUCAUGAGGAAAACGAAUGAUUCAUGUAAUCAUCAUAAAACCGUGCGAUGAAUUGUUAUACUCAUCCAACUAUCAAUAUGAUCAAAGAGUUCACAAAUCAACAAUGAUAUUGUUUAAUCUACAUUUAAUAUCGAUAUCUUUAAUCUUGCUUUAACAUGCCAAACGUCCCUUCAUUAGCUGGCGAUUAACUAAAGAGUAAUAUUAUUUUUUUUUUCUUUUUUUCACAAAUUUUUUUAUAUGCUCAAAAUAAUGAUUAAAUGUGUUAAAAAAGUAAUUUAUAAUUUUUAAUAUAUAGUCUUGUAUGUGAGGCGAAAUAAAUAAAUAAAUAAAUAAAGUGGUAAAAAAAGGUUGAAAUCUUGAUAAUUCACGUCCUUUCUUCACAGACACGUCAACAAUCUAAAUAAUCCCGACCGCACUGUAUCAAAACUUCGCACUUUAUAAAACUUAAACAAAACCUCUCUUGCAAGCAUAUAGUAGACCUUCUUCAGCCUUCUUUUCGAUCUUUCUUCGCUCUGCUUCUCACCCUCCCAGCUCUCUAACAAUGGUGCUCGAGGUAUGCCUAUCCUAUUUACUUCCACUUUUGCCAUUCUAUUUCCUAAUAUUUAUACUCUUUUUCUUCUUUCACAAAUUAGGGUUUUCUCACCGAUUAUUUUAAUUUGCAUCAUUCUGAUUCAGGCGACUAUGAUCUGUAUCGACAAUUCCGAAUGGAUGCGAAAUGGCGAUUAUUCUCCCACUAGAUUUCAGGCUCAAGCCGACGCCGUUAAUCUUAUCUGUGGAGCUAAGACUCAGGUCUCGAUGCCUUCCGUUUGAUUGUGAAAAAAAAAAAAAGGAAGAAGAUAAAAGAGAAGAAAUAAAGGAAAUUUUGGAAUAUAGUCGCAGGAGAUUUUUUUUUUUUUUUUCAUUUUCUCAUCAAUCAAUUACAGCUUUUGAUUUAUGAUUAUUAUUAUUAUUAUUAUUUCUGUUGUGGCAAGAUUCUAGGUUUUCUUCGAUUCUUCCGAACAUUUUGUUUUGAGAUUGUUGUUGUUGCAUUGAGGAUUUUCUUUGAAUUUUUUUUUUCCGUGAACGGUGCUUGCUUGCGAUUUGAGUGAUUUGUUUCUGAUUGAAACUUUUUAAUUUUUUCUUUCUGUACAGUCCAAUCCAGAAAAUACUGUGGGAGUUCUUACAAUGGCAGGCAAAGGGGUCCGAGUUUUGGUCACUCCCACAAGCGAUCUCGGCAAGAUCUUGGCGUGCAUGCACGGUAUGUUCAUUUACCUUUUUUUCUUUUUAAUAUGCAUGUCUAUUGGUCUCCAUUGAAUCAUGUUUUCUUUUUCAUACGCAUGUCCAUUGGUCUCCAUUGAAUCAUGUUGUCCUUUGGGCGGCAGGGGAUAUGAACAAGCUGCUUAUAAAAAGAAAAAUAAGGAAAAAAAAGACCAUAUGGACAAGUUCCUAUAAUUAACUAAUUUUUUGAAGAGAGUUUUUUAUCCUUUAUUAGUUUAAGGAAAUUGAAGAUUUUGGUUUUUAUGAUUUUACAAUUGCACAAGUUUAAUUUUUGUCCAAAGAACCCGACCAUGGAGUGGGUGCAGUAGGGUCUUAGUAUCAUAGGGUUCUGUUGAUCAGUUGUUAUAAAAACGAGUAAACAGAUUAGGUUUUGGUUUAGCCAUAAAAUAACUUUCCUAGAGUUUAGGGGUGGCAAAGUUUGAUAUGAUUCAUCAACAUGGCUCAAACUCAACAUGCUUUUCAUGAGUUUGAGUUGAGUAUAAUUAAAUUUGGGUCAAAUUCAUGUUGACUUGCAUAACCCAUUUAAUAAAUAGGUAGUUUUUGGGUCAAUCUACAUAACACAAAUUUGAUCCAUUUAAUAAUUGUGUUGAUCUAAUUAUAACUUUAAACUAUUUAACUAAUAUUUGACUCUCAUCAAUUUUUAUCUUUUUUUUAUCUUUUUAUUUUUAUUUUUUAUUUUUUAAGUAAACAUGUCAAUUGAGAAACAUGUCUAGUUGAUGGACUUAUAUAAAACCUAACUCAACUGGAUUAUUAAAUGAGUUAAAUGGGUUACACGAUGUGUUACCUAUUUGAUAAUAAAAUAAUAUUUAGGUUUAUGUUUUUAAUAUGGUUAUUAUUCGUGUUGGGUUUGAGUUGACCUUUGUAGUAGAAUGUCUAGGCUUUGAAACGAUACAAAUACAACCCACUUACAUGAAUUGCCACCCUUGCUAGAGUCCUAUGAUGUGAUAAGGUGGAAAUGGGAUUAUAAUGAGUGCUAUCUUGUUUGUAAUUUUCUUAUACGAAGUUUGUUUCUAUUUUUAUGCAUGCUGUUUUUACUUUGCAUUUGUUUCUCAAAUGACUGUGGGUUUGAGAAUGAUGAAGCUUUUCUUUUAAAUGUCUCUGUUGAGCCUUUCUUUUAAAUGCCUAUGUUGAGAUUUUCUUUUAAAUGUCCAUGUGGAUCUUUUCUUUAAAUUUUGUAUAUUUUUAUCAGAUCUUUAUCCUCUUCUUGAUUUUUUUAUGUGUGUGUAUAUAUAUGUGAUGUUUUUAAGGUAUAUAUUUUUACAUAAUUCAGGUUUAGAGGUGGGUGGUGAGAUGAACUUAGCCGCAGGUAUCCAAGUGGCUCAAUUGGCUCUUAAGCAUCGACAAAACAAAAAGCAGCAACAAAGGAUCAUUGUCUUUGCUGGAAGGUAGGAAUUCUUUUGCUUUUGCAUGCCUUUUCAUUCACAUGUUCUCUAGUUCUUGAAAUUCAUUAUUUCUUGUUAAUGCUUUCAGUCCUGUAAAGUAUGACAAGAAGGUAUUAGAGAUGAUUGGAAGAAAGCUAAAAAAGAAUAGUGUGGCCAUUGAUAUUGUGGAUUUUGGUGAGGAUGAUGAUGGGAAGCCAGAGAAACUUGAGGCCCUUCUUGGUUCUGUAAACAACAAUGAUAGUAGCCACAUAGUUCAUGUUCCUGCUGGUCCAAAUGCUCUUUCUGACGUGCUUAUAAGGUAACUGGUCAACUUUCAUUUUUUUUUUUUUUCAUUCUCGCAUGACAUUGUAGAAAAUUAUGACAGUGUAAUUUCAUCUUAUAUAUUCUUUUGUUUUGUUUCCUCAUGGCAGUACACCCAUCUUCACAGGGGAUGGGGAAGGUGGAAGUGGUUUUGCAGCAGCUGCCGCCGCAGCAGCAGCUGGUGGUGUGGCUGGUUUUGAUUUUGGUGUGGAUCCAAACUUAGAUCCUGAACUGGCUCUUGCUCUUAGAGUUUCAAUGGAAGAAGAGAGAGCGAGACAAGAAGCUGCUGCUAAAAAGGCUGCGGAGGAGGCUUCCAGACAGGAAAAGGAAGGGGAACAGCAAUCUAGUUCUCAAGAUGCAACUAUGACUGAGCACGCCAAUGUUGCAGCUUCUGAUGCUGAUAAGAAAAGUGAUCUAAUGGUUUGUCUUAUCUUUGCUCAAACAUUUCCCAUACCUCUUCUAAUUUUUUGUGCUUGACUGCCAUUUAACCCAUCUAACAUGCAUAUUUGUGUGUGAGGCUGGAUUUCUCAUUUUCAUUUUGUUUGCCCUAUUUUUUAAUGUUCUUUUACUUUUAAUAAACUAAAACAUCAUAGGAUUCAGAUAGAUCUUAAGUCAAUGUGGUUAACUGAUAUAAGAAGAUAAGAACUUUGCAUUGGCUUGGAGUAGAUCUUAUCGUAUUUUUUGGUGAAUACUGAUCUAUGUAUUUUGAAAACUAGGAACUCUUGUUAACCCCGAGGGGUAGCUCAGUUGGUCCGGCCUUGGGUUUGCUCUCCAAUGGUCACCAGUUCGAGUCCCCUCAGGACCACUGGAGAUUUACCCGAUCGUUAACUUCAGGGUCCCAUGGGAUUAGUCGAGGUGCGCGUAAGCUGGCCCGGACAUCCAUGGUUAUCAAAAAAAAAAAAAAACUAGGAACUUUUGUUGUUAUUAUUAUUAUUAUAAUCAUCAAAUAUGACCAAUUCCUUUCAUUGGGUCAGAGAACAUUGCAUAGGGUUCGGAUAGCAUAUGACUUUUGUAUUUCGCAAUGGAGAAGAAGCUACUAUUGUUGUUGUAAAACUGAAUUUUAUGUGUGGGAAUUGUAUAUUGAAAUUUAAAAAAAAAAACUUUAAAAAUCUACUUUCCUACAUCUCAUUUGAGGAAAAGCAUGAGUCUUUGUUCUUCUUUAAAUCAUAGAGAAAUCAUGUUUGGAAGAUUCAGAUUAUUCUUCUACUGAAAGUUCUUUUUCUCCUAUUAACUGCCAAAGAAAAAAAUGGAUAAGUUUUUUGAAGUGUAGAGAAAGGCUUUCCAGGUAAAGUUUGAAGGCUCCAAUGGGGGAACUUGGAUCUCAAUAAUAGAGAGAAGUCGAGGUUUUGUUGUUUCGAUAGGUUUUGGAGAGGAGGAGUUCGAUUGGUUGUCGGAGCAUUUGAAGAAAGUUGUGGAGUUGGAGGCUUCCAAGGGUUUUAUUCGAAAGAUUAGGGGCAAUAGUAGGACUCAUUUGAUGGAGAUUUGUUUCAAUAGUAGAGGGAGAUUUAGGAAAAUUACAGAAAUUGUUACAAAGAGUAAACCUCUAGUUCUAGUUGUUCCUGAGGGUGUUAAAGGCAAUGGGUGGGAAGCCCCUAGGAAGGCGAUUUCUUCAAUGCAAGACUUGUCUGAUCAAGUUGUAAGAGCCUCGAAGGAGAUGAUUAAAGAUUCUUAGGUGAGUAAGGGCAUUUACAGAAGAGGUUGGUCCGAUGGAGAUGUGGUUGCAGAGGAAGGACUUAGGAACGAAGCUCUGCUGCCAGUUGAAAAAUGGGCCAGAGCUGUAAUUUGUGAAAGUAAAGGAAAAGUACUAGAUUGGUUUUAUGUAGGAAAAGCUAUUGCGAGGAUGAUGGGUACGAAAGGAAUGGUGUCUGUAACCCCUAUUUCCGCUUACAAGGGGUGUUUUUUCGUGGAUUCUGCAAGGAGAGCUGAUUGGUUUCAAGAUCAGGGGAGUUAAAUAGUGAGAGAAGGGUCUGUUGUUUUGAGGAGAUGGUCGCCAAGAGAAAAUACUGUUGUAUUCAGAAAAUUUAGAAGGGGUUGGUUAGAACUAAGAGGCCUUUCUUUUCAUUUGUGGGACGAGGUUCAACUGAGAUACAUUCUGCAGAAGAGAGGGAAGGUAACGAAGGUGGCACGGGAAUCUCUGAAGCUUGUAGACUUGUUGAAGGUAAAGUUAUGGGUGGAGAUGCUUCCAAAUGUCGUGCUACCUGCGUUGCUAGAGGUGGAAGAUGGGGCCUGGUCAUUUAUGGUUGUAGUUUCAGUCAUCGGAGAAGUGGAAGGAGACGACUUUCUCAGGCCUGAGUUAACUUGCAGCAAGGACGAGUUGAUGUCAACGGGAGGUUGCGUCUCUUAGAGGCCAAAGAACGUUGCGAGGCUACGUGCUACUACUAGGGACAAUGAGUGCUACAGCUGGAGGUCUCGUCAUCGUUCCCGUUCUCGUUCUUCAGUUUCAAAUUUGGCUUACAAAGCGGAGAAAGAAUGGGGAGAGAGUCUCUUGGGCCCAACAGUGGGAAGCGUUAUCGGGCCAACAAAGCCAAAUGCCUUUUUUAAAGCCCGAUCGUUAGGGCCCAGUUUGGGGCGAAGAGUUUUAGGCCUCCUGCUGGCCCAGUCCACGAAACAGAAGCAGGAUUCUCUAAUGGCGGCCCUAUAGCGCCUUUGUCCUCAAAGCUCCAAUGCUCAGGUUUCUCCGCAAAGAAGGUAACAUCGAUUGUUCACUCUCAAGAGUCGUCAAAGUUAAAAGGCCCCUCAGUCUCUCCAAGGCGCAAAGUGAGAAGUUGGCCUCCGAGCCUAAAGGUGUCACCUUUUGCACCGAAACAUAACCUAGAUGGGGGUGGCUCAGCGGAAGCAAAUCUAGCCAUUUUUCGAGGCAAUUUAGUCUCCAAUAAGGGCGUUCUUUCUCCUGUUCCAAAAACUUCCCAAGAUUUCACCGGGGAGACAGGGAGACGAAGGGAUUUCGUGUUGCAGUUUAGUAAACAAGGUGUGUCCUCCUUUCUCAGCUUUCUCUGAGUAGGGCCAUCCUUUGGCUGGGGCUUUUGCUCCAAAAUCUCUUCCCGUCUCUUCUGUUUCUGCUAUUCAUCCUUUUCGAUGUCAACCUUUUUUUUUUCGAUUCCGUUGGAGUCAACUUUGCUUCUCAGUGUGUUCCCUUUUCAAAUUCUCAUGGUGUUGAGCUUAGUCGUCGUGUUGGCGUGCCCUUUUCUGAAGGUGUGGUGUUUCCCGUAGAAGCCUCUAACUGAAAUUUUAAAGCCUGUCAUUUCCUUAGGGAAUCACUUAGUAGCCCAGAGGAGCUUUGUGUCUUAGGCAAUGAUUCGUCCCCAAAGCCAGAACCUCCCACCCUCCUGUUGAAAGCUUUUCAGAUUGAGGGCCUCAUGCCUAGGAAGAUGGUCAAGGUUUAGUCGGUUUUGGAGAGUUUGAGGAUUAGAAUUGUCAGAGAUAAUGGAAAAGGUGCGGAAUUAGAGAGCAAGAGUACUCUUUCUACGGACAAGGUCUAUUUCAGAAGGAAGAGGAAAAAUGAUUGUGGAACCAAGGGAGAGGCUUAGGUUUGGUUGCAGUUUGUGCUGGGUUUUUUGUUUACAUGAAGAUCUUAAGUUGGAAUACAAGAUGAUUAGGUUCCAAGAAGAAAAGGAUUGUCAGAAGGUUUUUAAGGUCUCAAGAUCCAAAUGUUGUGAUGCUCCAGGAAACAAAGAGAGAAAUUUGGGAUAAGAGGUUUGUGAGUAGUGUUUGGAAAGGUAGAAGCAUGGAGUGGGCUGCUCUUCCUGCUUGUGGGGCUUCAGGGGGGAUUGUGAUUAUGUGGGAUUCAAAUAAGUUCAAAUGCACAGAGAAGGUGUUGGGAUAUUUCUCUGUAGCUGUGAAGUUGAACUCUAGUGAGGAAGGGUCUUUUUGGUUAACUUCAGUGUAUGGCCCGAAUAAGCCUUUGUGGAGGAAGGACUUUUGGUUGGAGCUUCAAGACCUGUACAGUUUGACUUUCCCAUUGUGGUGUGUAGGAGGGGAUUUUAAUGUAAUCAGGAGGAUCUCUGAGUAAUUGGGUGAUUCUAGGCUAACAUUCAACAUGAGGUGUUUUGACAAGUUUAUAAGGGAGAGUGGUUUCUUGGAUCCCCCUCUAAGAAAUGCGGAUUUUACUUGGUCAAACAUGCAGGUUGUUCCUAUUUGCAAGAGGUUGGAUAAGUUUUUGUUUUCUUCUGAGUGAGAUUCCUUUUUCUCUCAAAGUCUUCAAGAGGCGCUUCCUAGAUGGACCUCAGAUCAUAGCCCAAUUUGUUUGGAAACUAAUCCUUUAAAAUGGAGUCCGACUCCUUUCAAGUUUGAGAAUAUGUGGUUGCUCCAUCCUGAGUUUAAGAAGAAGUUUAGUGAUUGAUGGCAAGAGUGUACGGUUGAAGGUUGGGAAGGUCACAAGUUCAUGAGAAAAUUAAAGUUUGUUAAAUCAAAGUUGAAAGAUUGGAAUAAAGUGGCAUUUGGAGAUUUAAGAGAGAGGAAAAAGCUUAUUCUUUCGGACUUUAGGUAGGAUUGAUCUAAUUGAACAAGAAAGGAAUUUGAAUCUUGUUUUGGUAUCAGAAAAGACCUUAAGAAGAAGGGAGCUAGAGGAUUUGUUAUUAAAGGAAGAGGUUUAUUGGAGACAAAAAUCUAAGGUCAAGUGAAUUAAAGAAGGGGAUUGCAAUUCUAAGUUCUUUCACAGAAUGGCCAAUGGAAGGUGAAGCAGGAAGUUCAUUAAGUCUUUGAUCUCUGAGAUGGGGGUGACUUUAAGCAACAUUGAAGUUAUCUUUGAGGAGAUUGUAAAUUUCUUUGGGAAACUCUAUUCCAAACCCGAAGGUGCUUCUUGGAGGGUUGAAGGAGUAGAUUGGGUCCCUAUUCCUGGAGAGAGUGCGGUUUAGCUGGAUAGGCCUUUUUCUGAAGAGGAGGUAUGAAUGGCAGUCUUCCAAUUGAAUAAGGAACAGACCCUUGGUCCUGAUGGUUUUACUAUUGCAGUAUAUCAAGAGUGUUGGGAUGUGAUCAAAGAGGAUCUUAUGAGGGUGUUUCUUGAGUUCCACACCAAUGGGAUAAUAAAUCAAAGUACAAAUGCGACCUUCAUUGCUAUGAUGCCUAAGAAAAGCCAAACUUUUAAAAUUUCAGAUUAUAGACCUAUUAGCUUGGUUACAAGUUUAUAUAAGAUUAUUGCUAAGGUCUUAUCAGGGCAUUUACGCAAAGUCCUCCAUGAAACAAUCUAUGGCUCUCAAGGAGCCUUUGUUGAAGGGAGACACAUUUUGGAUGCUGUGUUGAUAGCCAAUGAAGUGGUGGAUGAGAAAAGAAGGUCAGGGGAGGAAGGGGUUGUCUUCAAAAUCGAUUUUGAGAAGACCUAUGAUCAUGUGGAUUGGGGCUUUUUAGAUCAUGUGGUAGAAAGGAAGGGGUUCAACCCGAAAUGGAGAUCUUGGAUAAGGGGAUACUUGUCUUCAUCAAGUUUUGCAAUCCUAGUUAAUGGGAAUGCAAAGGGUUGGGUUAAGGCCUUUAGAGGUUUGAGACAAGGAGACCCCCUUUUUCCUUUCCUUUUUACUUUAGUAGUAGAUGUUCUAAGUAGGUUGAUGAUCAGAGCAGAGGAAACUGGGCUAACUGAGGGUUUCUUUGUGGGGAGGGAUUGGAUUAGAGUGUCUUUGCUACAGUUUGCAGAUGACACCAUCUUUUUCUCUAAAGCCUCUUUGGAACAUCUUCAAAACCUCAAGAUUAUCCUUUUGGUGUUUUGGGCAAGUAUCAGGUUUAAAAAUCAACUUAGAAAAAAGCACCAUUUUAGGUAUUAAUACUAGGUAGGAGUUGUUGUCCAGUUUGGCCUUGGUUUUUGAUUGCAGAGUGUCUAAGUGACCUUUGUCUUAUUUAGGCCUUCCAUUGGGAGGGAACCCAAAGACAAUAGGCUUUUGGGAUCCGGUGGUUGAGAGAUUUUUGAGGAGGUUGGAUGGUUGGAAAAAAGCCUUUUUGUCUCUGGGAGAGAGGAUUGCUUUAAUUUAGUCAAGUCUGUCUCACAUCCCUAGCUACUUCCUCUCCCUCUUCAAAACCCAAUAUCAAUAGCAUCAAAGAUUGAGAAACUGCAAAGGGAUUUUCUUUGGUCUGGAGUGGGGGAAGGGAAGAAAGAUCAUCUUAUUGAUGGGAUGUUGUUAGUAGACCAAAGGAGUUGAGAGGUUUGGGUUUUGGGAAGACUUCUUUGAGAAAUAGUGCUCUCUUAGGGAAAUGGCUUUGGAGGUUCCCUAGAGAAAGAAAUGGUCUUUGGCAUAAGGUUAUUGCGAGUAUUUAUGGGACACAUCCUAAUGGAUAGGACGCCAACAUGGUGGUUAAAUGGUCACACAGAUGUCCUUGGAAGGCUAUUGCUCAAGUUUUCUAGGAUUUUUCCCUUUUUGUCCGCCUAGUGGUGGGGAAUGGGAAGAGAAUUCGUUUUUGGGAAGAUCUUUGGAGGUGUAACCAAACUUUGUGCUCUCAAUUUGCUGGUCUUUAUAGAGUUAUUUCUGUAAAAAACCUCACUGUCUCAAAUGUCCUUGGCAAUUCCUUUCCAUUGUCUUGGAAUUUUAAUUUUCGCUGCAAUCUUACUGAUUUAGAAAUUGAUCUCCUUCAGAAAUUAAUGUCUUCCCUUAGUUUAGUACUUUAUUCUCAUUAUUUGGCAGAUUCAAGAGCGUGGUCUUUGUCAUCAUCAGACUUGUUUUUAGUGAAAUCUUUUUUCUUGGCCUUGUCAAAAGUCUCAAAUCCUAUCUUGUUCCUUCCGGCCAAGUUCUUGUGGAGUUCAAAAGCCCCCUCAAAGGUUAAGGCCCUCGCUUGGUUAGUAGCACAUGGGAAGGUAAACAUCAAUGACAAGUUGCAAUUGAGAAGACCCUACAAAUCCCUCUGUCCUCAAUGGUGCAUUCUUUGCUAAGGAAAUGGAGAAUCGAUCAACCACCUUUUUCUUCAUUGUCCUGUUACCAUUGGACUCUGGCACAAGUUGUUCAAUCUAGCAGGGUUGGCUUGGGUCCCUCCAAGGAGUAUUGAGGACAUGCUGGUUAUUGCUUUUAAAGGCUUAGGGAACUCAUUAAGAGGCAAGACACUUUGACAAAUCGCUUGCCUUACUUUGUUAUGGAUGGUGUGGCAAGAGAGAAACAAUAGGAUCUUUGAGGAUAAGGGGAGAACGGAAGAGAUGUUUUAGAGGAGUUCCUCUUAAGUAUUUUACAAAUCAACUAGACUGCGGUUUGCGAUUCAAAAGUUUGAGAGUGUUGGGGUUUUUCUUUGUUUUUAGUUUUCUAUAGUUGGGUGUUUUCACUGUUGUUCAGUUUUUUGUUUUUGUGGGAAGGACCUCUCAUCCUUCUCUUGUUUUCUUCUCUUUUUCUUGUAUCUCUUCUUUCUCUUGUAUCUUUUCUUCUAUUAAUAUAUUUUUCUUCGUUUCUGAUAAAAAAAAAGAAAUUAUGUUUGGAAGUGUGUUCUCAUGGCUGAGAUUUCUAUCCAAAUGUACCGAAAAGUUGUGUUUAAACAUUAGUUUUAGGGUUUAGGAAGCUCUCCCAAAUGAGGCUGCAGUGAAGGACAAGCCAUACUCUACAAAGAAUAACAUUCAAACAGAAAAGAAAAGGUUCUAUUGAAAAGAAAACAAACAAGGAGGGGCUUGAAGUAAUGAUUGCCAAAAAAAGGGGAAAAAGAAAGAGAAAGAAAAACCUUCAAAUUUAGAUAAAUAAGAUGAAUGCUCAUAGAGGUAAAAAAAAAUUAUUUUUGAUCAGGCUCAGAGAGGUAAAAGAUCCCUUAAAGAAAGUCUGUAACAUGAGGGCCUCAUGCUUAGCUAUAUAAUUUGCUAUCUAAUUAGCUGAGUAGAAAAUCCAAGUGAUGAGUUCUAAAACUGUAUUAUUACCAAUGAUUGAUGCUACCAUUAUCCAUACCUCUAAGGACCUCAUUUUUGUUUGAUGCUCAAAAGGUGACAGUUGCAGAAUGCUCCUCCACAAUGAAUUUAGACAUAACCAUAGAUCUAAUCAAGAGUAAUCCCUCUAAAGGGGCUUGUUUCUCCACCUUGAUAGCCUAUCUAGAUAACUAGUUCUAGUUACAACUUCUAAGAUAAUACCAUAAUGCUCCCAUUCACUAAGUGACUAGACUCCCUAAGGAAUAACCAUUAAAUUUUAUCUUGAGUGCACUUGCUAGAGGGGCUCUCAACUUAGCUUCCAUCUCUAGCAUACUCAAAGAACAAACAGUGCUCCAAUCUUGCAAAACCAAGCUGAAUGGUAUUCCCAACAAAAACAUCUAUAAUUGAAACCAAAAGGGAGGAUAAAAGAUCUUAUCUCCUCCUAUAAAGCCUCCUUGGACCUCCAUCUAUCCUAAUAAUUUUUGGUAUUUUUCUCAAGUCUAAUCAUUUAGAUCAAAGUAAGAUUAAAUAUUGACCAAAGAACUUUGCCUUUGGACCUUUGAAUCCCUGAGGCAAUAGUCAUCAUGUAAACCAAGAUAUAAUCCAUCUUUGCAAGCCUUAGUAGUUUAUUCCAAAUCCCUAAUGUAAAUAGGCAAUGAAAAGCCUUGAUUUUUUCUAGGGGCUUCAACUUUCUAUGUAAAUUUGGUUGGAAAAAAGUGAUGUGAUGGUAUGUUGAAGAGAAGACAAGAUAGUGGUAAAUUGAAAUAAACUAUAAAGGAGGUCAAAGCACAUCAUGGAAGGAAGAAGAUAAUCACACAAGCAUUAGAUAAAGCAAAUAAUUCAUUAAUCUUCUUUUGUGUUUUUUUUUUAUAGGUAAAUUUUUGUCCCCAUUGGGACUUGAACCUGGAAUCUCCCACAAACCCUCCCCAUCAAAAGGAGGAUAGCCCAAACAAGACUGUACAAGGGUGAUUCUGCCUCUUAAAGAUAAAUGACAUUUCUUUGAACUAUAGUCUACUAUAUAUCUUAUUUUCAAAUGGGAAAUCAAUGAGGAUAGCCCAAAACUCCAUAGCUGGUCAUAGGUGGUGGUAACAUAUGAGAUUAGUAUCUAAUGUUUGUAUGAAGAGGCAAUGCACUAAUUGAUGUGUUUGAAUUGAGAAACCUAAAAUACAAGGAAGAGUUGGGAAGAUUAUGGGUUUUUUGGAUUGCUAUUUAAAAAAACAACCAUGAGCUUGCUAAAAUUAAUCCAUGUUGCAGAAUAUCAAGUGUUAGGUUUUUGUAGGAACUGUAGUAUUCAAAUUAGAGAAUGGUACAUAUUGGUUUACUUAUUUUAUCACUUGGUUAAUUGGACUACUAUUUGCUUGGACAAAAAGGAUGUUGGGGCUUGGCAUAAAAAAUCUCCAUACUCUUAAGAAGGCUCUUCUUGGUAAAUGGAGUUGAAGAUUCAUGUCAGCAAGGGAGUCCCUUUGGCAACAAGUUGUAGAUCAGAAGACGGGAUGGUGCUCAAGGGCUACGAGGAAUGGCUAUACAAUGGAGCUGUGGAAGGCCAUAAAAAAUGGUGGGAAGUCUUUAGAAGAGAAGCCACCUCAUUGUGGGUAAUGAUAGAUGAAUAAAAUACUUGGUGUGGUGAAAUCUCAUUGGAAGAGGCUUUCUCAAUGUGAUUUGACAUAGCCAUUGACAAAGACUCUUAGUAAAUGGAGCAGGAGAUUCACGUCAGUGAGAGAGUCCCUUUGGAAACAAGUUAUAGAUGGAAAGUAUGGGUCAAAAGAAGGGAGAUGGUGCUCAAGGGCAAUGAUAGAUAAAUAAAAUUUUUGAAAGAUCUUUGGUGUGGUGAAAUCUCAUUAGGAGAGGCUUUCUCAUUUUGAUUUGACAUAGCCAUUGACAAAGACUCUUGGACGGCAGAUUUGUUGGAGCAAGAUGGGAAAGAGAGCUGAUGUAGCCCCCAUUUCCACUAACAACUCUAGGAUUAGGAAGCAGAAGGAGUGGAGGCUUUUUUUUCCUUCUUUUUUUUUUUUCCUUUUUUUGUUUCUUUUUCUAUUUAUUUAUUUUUCCUGAAACUGCAUCCUUUCUCAAUUAGAAGGGAUGAGGAAGGCAGUUUGGGUGGUAAGGAAACUAAGGCUCAUAAGUUUUUCAUCAAAUCUUUCUAUACAUCCCUAGCCCAAGGAAAAAUUGAGUUUUUCCCAUCAAGCAUCAUUUGGAAUAAGGUAGGUUUCUUCUCUUGACAAGCCUUUUGAGGAAAGAUUUUAACUUUUGAUCAGCUUAGGAGGAGGGGUUGGAGCUUUCCAAACAGAUGCUACAUGUGUGAAAGGGAUGAAGAGUCAGUUAAUCACUUGCUUUCUUCAUUGUCCCAUAGUGAAAAUCCUGCGGUAAUUGGUUUUCUCUUUGUUUGGAGAGGCUUGGGCUCCAUUACGAGGCAAUCUUCUGAGUUGGCAUGAAUCUUUUGUUGGAAAGAAGAGAAAGAAAGCUUAGAGGGUCACUCCUUUGUGCCUUUUUUAGACAUUAUGGAAGGAAAGAAACAGGAAGUCUUUCUAAGGUGUAGAGCAGUAAGAACAAGUGAUUAAAUCUUCUUUUUUGUAUAACUUCAUGAAUUGGGCUAGAUUGCAUAUAGAUGAUCAUGAUUAAAUCUUCUUUUUUGUAUAACUUCAUGAAUUGGGCUAGAUUGCAUAUAGAUGAUCAUGCUACAUCAAAGGUAGGUUUUGUCAGCUAGCUAAGCUCAAAGUAAGGAGAGGAAGGUGGUUUUUUGUUUUUCCUUUUCUUUUUCCUUGCCUGUGAUGGUGCUCUUUGUAUACAUUGUGUGUACCUUACGAUGCCUUUUUCUUGGUGCUUUCUUUAUUAUAAUAUUUGCUCUGUUUGCUUAUCAAAAAAAAUAUUUUUCACUUUUACUUAAAAUGAAGAGAGGAGAUUUUUUGGCUCAAUAUGAACCUCUCUCCUCAGGAUAGGAGUACGAGUCCUUUGCUCAUAUUUAUAUCCAACAUUUAUAUCCAAAGAUAUGGAGACAGAGCAAUGGGACCUGUUAUUCUCACUGUACUCAACUCACUUUCAUUUUUGUCAACAAGCUGGUGUUAAUAAGAGCUCAAACCAUGGUAAAUGUGAAGAUGUGUGAAUUUUUCUGUUUCUAAAUCUAACAGAAAUCUAUGUCAUGAUCCACUCCCUUAUAAGGGGCUACAUCUUAUUACUGAUUUCAGUCAAAACUCCUUGGCAUAUCAUGAUUUUGCCUUGCUGGCUUUUUUCUGUGUUCAUGAUUUAGGACAUUUAUUACUACUUGACCUGACUCUGAAAUGCUGACAGGAUGAUGAGAAUGCUUUGCUACAGCAGGCCCUUGCAAUGUCUAUGGAUGACCCUGCCACUAGCCUUGCCAUGAGAGACACAGAUAUGUCUGAGGCAGCUGCAGAUGAUCAGGACUUGGCUCUUGGUGAGUUUGCUCAAUCCCUUUUUGUUGUAUGUAGAGGUUUUAUGGUCUGUCCCGCCUCUAUAACUCAUCCUUCCAUUACUGGUGGCCUAUCAUGAAUGCCAGUGUGUGCACCACUAUGAUAUUCUCUGUGCUAAUGAUUUUAGGCUGUAUAUUUCAUGAGCUGUGUAAGUAUGUGCAUGCUCGUGAGCAUGUGUAUGUGAGUGAAGGCUCCUUCCUUUUUUAAUAGGUAACAUAUUUUCCCCCUUACCUGUAGCCACCCACAUCCCACCCCAAGUCCUUGCAACUUGAUAGUUGAAGCUCCUAAAUUGCAGUUAGAAAAUCCAUUUCACCUUGAAGUUAUAUGCUUGUUAGUGAUUCCAAUGCGUAUUUUAUGAGCUGUGUGUGCAUGGGUGUGAGCUCUGUCCUUGAAGCUAGAACUUCAUAUCCAGUUUGCAUGAAAUUAGAUGUGUUUUAGUGAUUCCAGCCUGUGUAUUAAUAUAAGCUAGUGAUGUCCAGGCUGCCUGUAAUUCUAGGGUUUGUAUCUUGUAAAUUUAUAUUUUAUCACAUGGUUUUUUUAAUGUGUUGCUCAUAGCUACAUAACUUACAGGUUGUGAGCUGUCAGCUACAAGAGCGAGUUUUUUUAUAUGAAUAUUUUUUAUUCUAUGUUGCCUUGUAUUUUGCCUUUUUCUGAAGCCUUUAUUUUUGGGGGGGUUAUUCCAUAAGAGAGGUGAUGCAUCAGUUGAUGACAUAGGUUGAUGAUUUGUCUAGUUUGGAUAUCAAUCGAUCAAAUAAAUAAAUAAAAGAAGUGCAGCUAAUUCAGAAAUCCUAGAUAAUUUUGUUUUUUUUUUUUUUGGGAGAAUGCACUAGUUGAACAUGAAGACUCUCUAUGCCAUCCCAAAGAAGCACCAAGAAUCCAAAUACUAGCUAAAUAAAUUGUGCUAAGAAACACCAAGAAUCCAAAUACUAGCUAAAUAAUUUGUGCUGGCUAGAAUAUCUGGGCAGAAAUGUCCCUGAAUCUCUUAUGAAAUUUCCAAAUGGCUCCUACCAAUAAUUAAUCAAGGACACAUUACUAAAUUGUUGUAUGAGCCUCAGGUUUUUAAAAACCAUCUUAUGGGGUUAAAACAAUCUAGCAUUCAUCCUAAAUACUCACUAUUAUUUUCCUCUGUGUGUAUUUGUUCAUCCAUUCCCCCUUUUCUUGUCCUUGCAGCUCUUCAAUUAUCUGUGCAGGACACUGGAAAAGAUUCAACCAGUCAGACCGACAUGAGUAAAUUGUUGACAGAUCAGACUUUUGUGUCCUCUAUCCUUGCAUCUGUAUGUGACUGAACCCUCACUUUUCCAAAAAGUAAAAAGGAAAAACAAGCACAGGCACACACACACACACACACACAAGAGAGAGGAGAUGGAAAAAUGACAGAUGAGGAUCUGCUGCAGUUAGCAUUUCAUGAAAAGCAUUUUCGAUUUUGUGCAGCUUCCAGGAGUUGACCCCAAUGAUCCUUCAGUCAAAGAUUUGCUAGCAUCCAUGCAAAAUGAGUCAGAGGUGGGUUUGUUAACUUACAAUUUAUGUUGAUUACAAGAGGCAUUUUCUUGCCUCCACUAAUUGCCCAAUAUGUCAGGCAGAGAUGUUGAUUGUAUAAUUGUUUCUUCUCAGUCCCAGCAGAAGAAGAAUGAGGACAAGGCACCAGAUGAGGAAGACAAGUGAAUAAUCUGAUGCUGUGGAAUUUGUUUUCAUUUUUCAGGUUUAAACUUUGAACCAUCAAGCUUUAUCUGGACUACCAGUAAUAUGGAAUUUUUACCUUAAUAGCUAACUCUGUGGGGCAACUUUUUCUCUUGCAGACAAGUAGCUUUAUGUUGUGGUGAAUUGGCCAUAAGGGUGCAUAUGGAUGAACUUUAUGUGUCUUGGGAGAAUCGUCGAAGAACAGAGACAAACUUUAUAAGCUAGGGAAUUAAAUGAGACCUCUGCACUUCCUUAGAUAUUUAUACAUUGUUGUUACCCAGAAAAUUGAGCUGGCCUUGUUUUACUAUGGAUAUAUAUGAUUGUGAGGUACGUGAACAAUUGGCCAGUUAAAAUCUCUUGGAAAUUUCAUAUUGGAGUUGCUCGCAUCAAAUAUGGACCAAUUAAAUGGAGAAUGGAAAACCCUUUGUUACAAGGUUUUAUCCACCGAAUGUGCUGCAUGCACUCCCAAGGAUGUUGGGACUAGAGCUCCCUAUCCAUAUCCAGGAAUUGAAAUUCUCCCAAUUUUUAUUUUGACAUUGCAUGAUGUGCAUGAUUGAAGGUUAAUUGCUGGGGACCCUAUUAUUUGGCAUGUGUUCAAAAUGUGUGAUGUUACAUGCUUAAUCAAGGCACGACCAAAUAACACACCCUCUUCAUUGUGGCAUGAUCUGCCAUGCAUCCAAUGUGCGAAAUGCUAGGCUUAGUAUUACAUAAUCAAUUAAAGAUGAGAUUCAUUAUGGCAUGAUCAAAUUAUAGAGUUAGAGAUUUAGAACUUGUUUGAUUGUGAUUUUAGAAAGGUUAAAAAUCCUUUCUGGAAUUUUUAGUGGUACAUCUUCAUAACCACUUUUACUAAUAUGAUAGCGGGUGCACCUGAUUUGAUAUUCGGGGCAUGUUCUUAGAAUGGGUUUCUCUGUUCUAUUUCUUGAUAGUGAAGCCGAUGUUACGUGUGAGGAGACUUUGAUUAAUUUAAUUUAUUUUUAAGAUUAAGGUGGUGUUUGUUUUUUUACUUAAUUCUAAAUAGAAUCUUAAUACUUAAUAGUAUUAAAUAUUAGGUUGUUUGUUUUUGUAGUAUUUUAUUUCUAUUAAGUAUUAAAAAGUAAAAAAACCAUUAUGUUUUUUUUUCUAUUUAGAAAAAGUCACAUAUUUUGGCUUUUUCUAUUUAGUAAAAAGUUUAUAAUAAAUCAUGAAAAAGUAAAAAAACAAACAACCUAAAUUCUAAAACUAAAUGGUUUUCAGCAAAAAGCCAAAAAAACAAACACCACCUAAGUCUAGUUAUGAUACUGGAAAAACAUCAGCAUUCAAAUGAUAUCAUUUACAUAUUUUUAAGUCGUCUUAUUUGUUUGUACCACAUUUAAUGGUUUAAACCUCACUGCACAUUGAACAGUUUGAAUUCCUUCUUGUGUGGAUAGCAUUAUGGUAUCAUAGCAUUUUCCUCGAGAUUAGUUUGGGGUUAUUUUCAAUGGCUUUAUGGGAGUGGGCACAUGUCAUCUUAAAAAACUUUGACAUUAUUAUUGAAUAAUUAACAUGAGAUUUACUACUUUGAAGUUUGAACCAACUUUGCCACUCUCCUAGAAUUCCUUCCUCUCAUAUUGCCACUCUCUCCAACUUUGUCUUGUUUGUCUGCUUCUACCCUCCCUCAAACUCAUUACUCAUGUGGGUAAAUAUGUACGUUUUUUUUUUUUUUUAAAAUUAUGAGUAGGAUAUAAAAAAUAUAUAUAUAUAAAUAAGGGCAUAAAAAAUGACUGUCUUAUAGAAAAUAUAUUAAGGUAUUAAUAUAUAAUAAAAUUAUUUUUUUUCUUCUCAAUGGUUGAUGUUUUUCUGAUUUAUUUAAAUUAGAAAAUUAUUUUAGUAAUAAUAAAAUAUAAAUACUAACAAAAUGCAUCAUCUAAGUCCUUUCAUUUGAAUAAUUAUAUUUCCCUGUAUUUGAAUUAAAAUAAUACUAACAAAAUCCACGUCAACUUUUAUAAAUUAUUUUCAAAAAAAUAUGUUUAUAAAAAUAAAUUUAUACAUGAAUAGAUUGUUUCAAUUAUCUUCAUCACCUAAAUCUCUAAAAACUUCUCAAAAUAAUCUUAAUAAUUGACAACCAUCUACAUGAAAUGAAUAAAAGAACAUGAUAUUUUCCCUUCAUGGUUUUAUAUUCGCGUAAAGUAAAUAAAAGAAGAUCAACAAAACUAACAAAACUGUUUAUCUGGGGAAGAUGAAGCUGCAAGACUGAGCCAAUAAGAGCCUUUCAAUGCAAUAAAAUCAUGGUAAGAAUGGCCUCAAUUGUUUGAUUCCACCAUCAAUAAACCUCAUUAAACCAUACAUACACCACUCAUUCCAAGCUUAAUGACUUAACAUGAAUCACAUUGGAGGACGGUACCUAAUACCAAUCACAGAUUAUUCAGUAACUAGACAGGCAUUCAACGCCACUGUGUAUAAGUAUAUGGCCUCCAAUCUCCCUGUACUUUGAAUCCGUAGACUUUUUUUUAUCAUAUACCAAAAUGAUCCAAAGGGGGAAAAAGGAAGAAUUCCCACUUAUCCUUCAGGCUAUAACUAUGGAAAAGAGAAUGAUAUAAAUGCAACGGUAGAAUUAUCUGGGGAGAAGUUUACAACCCAAUCAGGGACUGCCUCAGUGCCUCCAGAAGUAACCCAGAUCCAUUUACUCAACCCAGGACCCGUGAAGAAAAUAAGUUACAGGACUAAAUUCAGCUCAACAGGGAGCAGCUUGUCAUUACAAUCCAAUGCAGCUGGAUGUCAAGUUGGUGCAUGGAAAGCCAUACAUUUCAAGGAGAAGAGGCUGCGACGAAUGAGCACACAGAGCAAAGGCUUCACCGCCGGAAUGCAUUGCCUUCUCCCACUUCUGACCUGCCCUGCAAAUAAUGUGUGCGGCGACGAACGCUUUCCUCUAUUGUCGAGCUUCCUCCCUUCUCAGCACCAUACACACUCUUGUGAGUAGCAUCUAAGAAAUCCCUUCCCUGGGAUAUGCCUGCUUGAGUAGCCUCUUGUGCAUCAUUUUCCUCAGCCUUCCUCAGGCGUUUCCGUCUCUGCUCUUCAUGCAGCUCAACAUCCAUUUGCAUCUCUCGCAACCUCGCAGCUCUCUCUUCUUCAGAAAGUUUUGGAGCAGUGUUUCGGCGCCUAUAGUGUGAUUCAUGGCGAUUAGCAGGAGAAUCAGAAUGACUUGCUUGAGAAAAUUUUUUGCUCCCUGUCUCCUCCCUAGAAGCAACAUUAUUUUUCCUUUCUCCUGAAGAAUAUUUAUCAUGCUUCGACUUCUCCCUAUUCUUGAUUCUUUCCAGAUUGUCAUUUUCUCCAGAUUUCAGGUCAGACAGGCCACUGGAUGUUUGCUCUUUGUAUUUCAGGUCCUUGUGGUGUCUCUUGUCUCUUGGUUUCUCCCUGUCACCUGAUUCAUCAUCCAAAUCCUGCUGUGUUUUAUCAUAAUUUGACCUCUCCUUGUGCUUGAGGUCCUGGUGCUGUCUCUUGUCUCUUGGUCUCUCCCUGUCACCUGAUUCAUUGUCCAAGUCUUGCUGUGUUUUAUCAUAAUUUGACCUCUCCUUGUGCUUCAGGUCCUGGUGCUGUCUCUUGUCUCUUGGUCUCUCCCUGUCACCUGAUUCAUCGUCCCAAUCUUGCUGUGUUUUAUCAUAAUUUGACCUCUCCUUGUGCUUCAGGUCCUGGUGCUGUCUCUUGUCUCUUGGUCUCUCCCUGUCACCUGAUUCAUCGUCCGAAUCUUGCUGUGUUUUAUCAUAAUUUGACCUCUCCUUGUGCUUCAGGUCCUUGUGGUGUCUCUUGUCUCUUGGUCUCUCCCUGUCACCUGAUUCAUCAUCCAAAUCUUGCUGCGUUUUAUCAUAAUUUGACCUCUCCUUGUGCUUCAGGUCCUUGUGGUGUCUCUUGUCUCUUGGUCUCUCCCUGUCACCUGAUUCAUUGUCCAAAUCUUGCUGUGUUUUAUCAUAAUUUGACCUCUCCUUGUGAUUCAGUUCCUUGUGGUGUUUCUUCCUUUUUAAUCUUCCCCUUUCACCUGAUUCAUCUUCUGAAUCUGUUGGUGCUUUUUCCUCAUAAUUUGACCUCUUAUGGCUACCAUCCUUUCUUCUUUCUUCUUCAGGAGUGACAUUUUCAGAUUGGUGUCUCGAUGAAGAAUGCGUGUGAUGCUUUGAACUCUUGUGAUGAAGUUUCUUUUCCUCUUUUCUAUCGUGUUUCUUCUCCUUGGGCUUUUUCUCUUCCACCUACCAAAAAAUCAACAAGGACAGCAGCAUGAUCAGCAAAAGCUUUGGUGCAGAAUCAUUGUAAAGAAUUUUGGUGUACAAUGUAGUUAAACAAAAUGCCAUAGAUAACAUAAUUUUGUUGAUUUCUUUCAAUAGAACUCAUAUCUUCAUCAUAUAUCAAUGUUCCAUAGAAUUUUUUUGGGGGAGAUGUCAUGUGGCUUCCAACCUAAUCACGCAAUCUCAGUUUUUAACUUGAUUCAUAAUCUCCUAUUUUUCAUCCUUGGUGUCAUUAGGCACGUUGGCCCCACAAAUCUGUCUAAACAGACAAGUUCAAGGUUGUUUAGUCAUUUUUAAUAGCUUGCUAUUUUCACUCUAGGGAAAUAAAAAUAUUCUAAGAAUUCUAUGGACAUUCAGAGGGUGUUUGGUGAUUUACUUAAUGACUUAAAGUGACUUAAUAACUUAAUUUCAAUUAUUAAGUAGAUUAAACAUGUUUGGUAAAACAGCUUAAUAUCACAACUUGAAAUUAAAAAUGACUUUACGUAUCAAGUCAAAAUAAUUAACUAAUUAUUAAUCUUAAAUCUUUUUUGUUUCAUUUACCCAUAUGUAAGGAGAGUAUAUUUAACAACCAUGACUCCACAUUUCUGAGUCAUUUUUUAUAAUAAAUAUUUUAAGGUUAUUUUAUAUAUCUACAAUACUUUAAAUAUAGAUAUUUAAUAAACAAAUUUAUUGCUUAAGAUCAAUAAAAAUAUAUAUUAGUUAAAAUUAAUGAUGAUAAAUAUCAAUUACAACUAAUGAGGGUAAAUGUGAAUUUGAUAACUUAAAAUAAAUUUUAAGUUAAUUUGAUCAAACAACUUAAACACUUAAAGUAAAAUAUAAUUAAUAGGUUCUAAUUUAACAACUUAAGAGCAAUUUCACUUAAAGUCAACUUAAGUCAUUAAGUAACAAACAUUAAGUUUUACCAAACGCCCACUCAAACUUGUACUUAUUUACACUAGUAUGCACUCUUCAAUAAAGUUUUUGUUCAUAAAAGAUAAUUACUUGUGAAAAAACAAUUACCAUACCAUCACAACUCCUGCCACUAAUAUUUAGCUUAUAAAUGGGAUAAACUUACAGAUUUGCGGAUCAUGGCCAUCUGAACUGGAUUGUUCUUAAUGUGUGCCAGGGCUUCUUGUUCUCGCUGUCGAAUCAUAAGCAAAGGAUCAGAAUGAAGUUUCCUCCAUGUAUCAUUGGCAGAUUGAGGUUUCUCCUCAAAUAAAGCUCCUGGCACGGAUGGUUGCUGCUGCUAAGACAUACCACAAAUUCAAAAUUCAAAAAACAGCUCUUGAAUAAAUCAUGUGCCUUUUAUUCAUCAAUCAAAAGGCUAAAGCACUGGCAAAUAACCGAACUUCAAAUUACCUUGGCAGAAGAAGAGGAGGCUACAUCGUUGCUGGGCAGGGCUUCCAGUGCUUUGAAUCCAUCAGAGCUGCCCUUUCCUACUGCUAAUCCAGAAUCAUAAAGAAAUUCCAAUCUCUCUUGCUUGCUGAAAAAUAAAGUAGUUAAAAAAGAAUUAAUUUCAUAAAUUAUUCAAAACACUUAAACAUCAUAAAUCCUAAUAUGCAAAACGAAACAAGAAACUAGAUUGAUUUCAUAAAUUUAACCCUAAGUUUAAAAUCAACAAAUUAUAUUAAAAAAAAAAAAAAGAAUAAUGUAAUGACAAAAUGGAACAUUUUCAUAGAUCCUACUGGAAUGCUGCAAACCCUAACCUUAACCAUAGCCAUAAAAUCGACAAAUCGUAAUCCAUUUCAUAAAGAAUUAAUUAGUCAAACCCAAACUUUCAUAAAUUCGUUAAACCAGAGAUAUUAUAAACCCUAACUAUAGGCCUAACCCGAAGCUUAAAACCAACCAUUUAUAAUGAAAAAAAUGGGUUAAUUCCAUAGAUCCUUCCAAACCAAAAUAUUGUGAACCCUAACCCUAACCAUAAAAUCAGCAAAUUAUUAUCCAUUUAAUAAAUCAUUCAAACCAGAAUUAUUGUAAACCUACCCCCUAACCCUAACUCUAACAUCAGAAAAUUAUAAUCCAAUAAAAAAAUUCUGCAAAGCCGAGAUAUUGUAUCAGAAACCCUAAUCCUAAUAUGAAGAAAGUAUGACAAAAAACAGCGAGAGUAACAUACGGAACGAGGCCAGCUUGUUCCUGGAGGAGCCGAUAUUCUGAGCGCUCCCUCUCCUCCAGAAUCUGUUUGCGGAGCUCUUCCAAUUUCUUCUGCUCAGCGUCAUGCUUCUGCUCAGCCUUCCACACGUUCUCUAUGUUCCGAAGACUCCCCGUGUGCCAUCCCUUCUUGUUCAAAAACUUCAACGCCAUAGAUCUUCAAUUUCAAUUCCAAUUCCAGAUUUUUCAGAGGUUUAGAUCUGCAAAUUCUGCUGCUUUUAUUUUCACUUCUUUCCUUUUUUCUUCCGGAGGUUCGCCCAUUUCGUUGUAAUCUUAUAUUUGCAAUCAUUUAUUUAUUAUUAUUAUUAUUAUUAUUUAAAAAAAAAAAAAAAAAAAACACUCUAGAGGUAGGGUCAAAUAGCACGUGCCUCUUAUACUGAAUUUAUCUGAUAUUUGAUUGUUGCAAAGUGUAUCGAGAAAGAGCUUGAUCAUGGAAGGUUUCUCGAUCAUCAAUAAAAAUAAAAAUGUUGUAUUUAGAUAUAUUUUUUAUUUUUAAAAAUAUAAAUUUUUAUUUUUUGUUUUAAAAAAUAUAAAUUUAUAUAUAAAAAUUAAAAACUUUUAUAUAAAAUGUAUUUUUAAACAUAUCAUAAUAAAAAAUUUUAAUACCUUAAUUAUUAUUAUUUUUUUUGUCAAUUUUCAAAAAUCAUUAAUUUUUAAUAUAAGUCUAUAAAGUUCCUUAUAAAAAUUACUAUUAUUUCUAUUUUUAAAAUUAAAAGGACACUUUUUCUUAAUACCCUAGUUUAAAAAAUAAAAAAUGCUACUACAUGUACAACAAAAAAUGAUAAAUAAUAUUUAGUAGGAAUAUUGUAUUAAAAAUAUUUCAUAUUUUUAAAUACAAUUAUUAUAUUGUCAUUAAUUGCAAAAAUGUCAACAAAUGUUAUAAAUUUGUAAAUUUUGAUAUUCUCGAUGGAAUCAUUCCAUGCUAUGGAUUUUUUUUUUAAAAAAAGCAUUAUUAAAACACAAUUGUUUAAAAAAUAAAUACAAAAAUACCACACUUUUUAUCAUUUUUUUUUAUUUUUACACUAAACUAUGUCUUUUUAAAAGACAAUUUCCUUUUUUAUCUUAAUACUUUUUAUAUUAAACUUCUCUUUCCAAAAUACAAAUUCAUUUUUUUUACAGGUAACUCACAUUUUCAAUAUACGAAAUCUACUCGAAAUUAAAAUGUAUCGUAAAUACAUAUAUAUAUAUAUAUAUAUAUAUAUAUAUAUAUAUCGCCCAUGAAAUCGUGACAAAUCCACAACGGUUUGGUAACACCAUUUACUUGUGUACCAAUUCCGUCUUCCACUCUUGCAUGAAAAUAUUAGGUAUUGAAUGUCAUUUUGUUCAUUUUCAAUUCAAGUUUCUCAUAUAUUCACUAAGAAUCAAUUGAUGAUAUUUUAUAUUAGCCUCUUGGGAAGGAGUUUUCUUGCUUUUACAUAGGGGGUGCAAUUUGGAUGGGUUAAUCGAGUUGAUGGCUAAUCCAAGUCCAACAUGAAUUAAAAAGCAAUUAAUCUAUGUUCAAUCCAACCCGAUCUCUAUCUCAAGGUACUCAAUUUAAAUUCAACUAACUUCAUUUUUCUAAACCUAAGUUGAGUUCAGGUUAUUCAAGUUUGAUUCGAGUUAAAUUUGGGUUAAUCAGAUUGUAUAAUUCAAAAUUUAUUUAUGAUAUUGUAGACCCCUUUUAUGGGGGGCCCGGGGGGAGAGUUUUUCUCUCUUUGGGCAUUUCUUUUUUAAACAAGGGGGGACCCUUUUCUCUAGGGAAUGUUGAGGCCUCGCGUCCCUGGUGAUCCACGUAAUUGCCAAAUGGAUGGACGCAUGAUCUUAACCAAUAUAGAUUCCUGGUUUAGUCGUUCCUGCAAAAGGCGUCCGGACAAGGUGUUCGGACACACCCUCCGAUGGUUUUGUCAGCCAUGGUUAGAGAGAUAAAUCAGUUGACCUUUUACUAGGUAUAGCAAGCUUACCUUCCUCCUUGUAUGAAGGUCUAUAUAUAUAGUGUUAGGAACUUUGUUUCCCUCUUUAAUGGUAGGGAGAUAUUUUGGCUUCGUCAUGAUGCCUCUAGGUGGUGGCAAGGUCAUCAUCACCCUACGGGCGGCUGACAGAGAUCGUGGGAGGCGCCGCAACUGUCAGAGGUCGUGGGAAGUGACUUGCCGUCACUUCAUUCCUGUCUUUUCACUCUGCAGGUGGCGGAACGUGGGCCGUGGCAGGUUGUUGGAAUGAUGUGCAAGACUUGCUUACUUCAGUCAACAAUCCGGACAAAACAUAUCCGGAUAGGAUAUGUCGGUCGUCCGGAUGUGAUAUGACGGUCGUCCGGAUGUGAUGUUUGCGAGUGUAGUGUGCCUCUCCCUGAGGGAGUCCGGAUAGGAGAAGCGCGCCACGUGCACUCUUGGGGGAAUCCGGAUGGGGGUAAUCCGGAUAGAAACGUGUGCCACGUGUCAUUAGGAAAUGUGUGCCAUGUGUCAUCAGGGGGAGGGGUCCCUACAGGGAAGACCGGGCUGCAAAGAGGAAAAGGAGUAGGGAUGACCAUAAUUUCAGGAGCCAUGCCUGCUGAUGAGGACACAGGAGAGUGGGUGAGAGGGACAGAAGGCUUUUGAGGUCAGGAGGAGAGGGAGGGAGGAGGAGAAAAAGGCGCUCUGGAGGUGGCAGACGAGCAGGAGGAGGGAAAGCCGAACCACAUUCAGCUAGAAAGCUCAGGUAUGGCCAUCUCCUCAAUUCUGAUCUUUAUUUUUCGCUAUUUUUGCUCAGUGCUGUGAAUCUAUUUUUCUCUGUUAUUGGGCUUGUUGAUUAUUGCUUUGGCACCAUUCUUUCCGAACCCCAUGCGCGACCACCCUCUGUAACUCUCCACUCUUUCAUCCUCACUACCCAUCAGAAACACCACCCUCCCAUUUCCAUCAUCUCUUUCACGUGCAUGGAGUCUCAUGCAUGGCUACCCAANNNNNNNNNNNNNNNNNNNNNNNNNNNNNNNNNNNNNNNNNNNNNNNNNNNNNNNNNNNNNNNNNNNNNNNNNNNNNNNNNNNNNNNNNNNNNNNNNNNNAAAGUCCAGCCCUACUUGAACUCCUCCGCCUCCAUUACCAACAGCAGGCUGAGCCUCACCUGGGCCUUGAAUCCCUCCGUCAUCCACCACCGUCGACGAGGAAGAAGAAACCCGGCUAGGCUUCGCCGGGCCUUGUUUGCGGCGUCGCCGGCCCUGCGUCAGGCGUGACGCAGCCCCGGUCAUCUGCACCGGCCAGCACCAUGUCCGACCAAGCUGAGAGUUCAGCCAUUGACACCGCCCGCUCGUCGCGAUGAGUGAGAGUCACCAUCCUCGCCGUCGUCUUCACCGGCAGCAUGCACUUCAAGGCCUUGGAGGGCCUCGCGACCGCCUCCAUUCAGUAGCCGCCUUCGUCCCGCCGACAGCGAGGGGUUCCGUCCGAGGGUAUUGCCCAGGCGGUGGAGUGGAGGGUGAAAAUUUUGGUCCCUUGGGCUUGCCCAUAUUGGCCUUGAACUUGGGCUUAAGUUGGUGCCUUGGGCUUGCCCAUAUUGGUGACAGGUUUGGGCUUGAGUUGGAGCCCAGGCCCAUAGUUGCUGAUGAAAGGCCCCUUUGCUCCCUAUUCUAGCCAUCUCCAUGGCCCAAGUCCAUGUUGGGUUAGCCCAUUUGGCUACAUUAUGUCUAAACAAGUUUUUUUAAUCUCUAACCUUAGUAAAUUAUUAACUUAUUCAUGUUUUUAUUUAUUUAUUAUUUAUUCUUAUUUUUACCUUAUUUUAUCUUCACCAAUUUAGUUAGCUCAACUUAAAGACAAUUAAAAGAUAAAUUAUUAUUCUUAAUUAUAUUUUUAUCUUGAAAUUUACACUAUUCAAUUUCACUAGUUUAAACAUUAUGAUUGUCAACUAUUAUUAUUAUUUCGUACGUAUCUAUUUAUCAUCUUUCAAAAUCUCACUCAUCAAAGUUAAAUUCUAAUCCUUCAAAAACCCCAUAUCUUAAUCUAAUAUUUCAAUAAUCCGUUUAAAUCUCGUUUUCAUCAAUUAAGAAUUAUUAUCAUAUAUUUAUCUAGUUAUUUGAAGUCUUACCCUUUCAAAAAUCUCAUGUCUUAAUUCAAUUUUUCAACAGUCCGUUCAAACCUUAUUCGUCUAAAUGUUAUUUUCGUUAAUUAGUAUUAUUAUCCUAUAUAAGUUUAUUUAUUUAAAAUCCAAUCCUUCAAAGAUCCAAUGCCCUAAUUUCAUUUUCCAAGCCCUGAAAAUUCCACUAUUCGUCUAAAUGUCAUUUUCGUUAAUUAGGAAUUAUUGUCUCAUAUUUAUUUAUUCAAAGUCUAAUCCUUCAGAAAUCCAAUGUCAUAAUUUAAUUUUUCAAUCCUAAAAAUUCCACUAUUUGUCUAAAUGUUGUUUUCGUCAAUUAGAAACUCGAUACUUGUUUACCUCUUUUAAAAAUCUCAAUCAUUGAACUUAAUUCUCGACCCUAAAAAUCCCACUAUCCUUUUUUAUUCGUUUAAACGUUGUUUUCGUUAAUUAUUAUUAUUACCCUAUAUUAGUUUAUUUAUUUAAAAUCUAAUUCUUCAAAAACCUCAUGUCUUAAUUUAAUUUUUCAAUCCUAAAAAUUCUACAAUUCGUUUAAAUGUUAUCCUCAUAAAUUAGAAUCAUUAUCCCAUAUCUAUUUAAAACCCAAUCUUUCAAAAACCCCAUAUCCUAAUUUAACUUUCAAUCCCAGAAAUUCCAUUAUCCGCCUAAAUGUUAUUUUCAGUAGUUAGAAUUCUUAUCCCCUAUCUAUUUAUUUACUUAAGGUCCAACUCUUCAAAAAUUCAACGUCCUAAUUUAAUUUUUAAUCCUAAAAAUUCCACUACUCAUUUUCUAUCCGUUUAAAAUAUUGUUUCCGUUAAGUAGUAUCAUUAUUCCAUAUUAUCUAUUUAAUCUAAUCGUUAAAGUUCAAUUCAUCAGAACCCGACUUCCAAAUCUAAUUUCCAACCUCAAAAGCUCCACCGCCCACAUAUCGCCGUUUAAUGAUUAUUCUCGUUAUCAAUGUUAUCCCAUCUACUCACUUAUUCAGUUAUUCAUAUAUCAAAGAUCUCAUCUCUAAAUAAAUUCUCAAGUUCUCAAUCUCUAAAUUCACAUCUUCAAAUCUCUAAAAUUCCAUCUUUCGCAAUUAUUUACCUAAACUUUAUUACUUCACCUUCGUUAUUAUUCCAUCCCUUUACUUAUUCACUCAUCCACUUAUCCCCCCAUUUAAAAUCCCGAACUCUCAAACCAUUUUCAAAGUUUCCAACCUCGUUCAAAUUUAAUUUCUAAAAAUUCUCAUUCCCGCAUUUAAUUCCUGAAAGUCCGAUCUUCAAAUAAACUCUAAAAUCCCAAUUUUCUUUAAAUAACCUUCGAGACUCCAAUUUUUCAAAUGAAUUUCAAAAAUCCGAUUUUCUCUCAAAUAGCUUUAAUUCCAUUUUGGUCUUCAAACAAUCUUCUGCUCCUCUUGAUUUUAAUAAGCAGGAAAGAGUUUUCCGUAAUUCCGAAUAAUGGAAUUUAUGGGAUUAAUUCAUGCAAUAUAAAUCGGGCUCUGGUGAGGGCCCAACAUAUGUGAUUUCCUUAUGAUUGAUUGAUUGUUUGUCUGAUUUAAUUGCUAUGCAUGAUUGAUUUUAUUCUGCUCUAUGACAUGCUCGAAAUUAUUCCUUAAUUGUGCACUAACCUCACUUUUUGAUAGCGCUUUAUGGAUCACUGCCCAGGUACGCAUCCACAUCUACUCGGGUCAUUUUCUGUAUGCAUGUUUAGAUUCUCACAUGUGCAUGAUCACUCUGAGUAUUCAUUGAUUCCCUCAUCAAUUGCCAUGAUUGCUUCAUGUUAUUAGUAGAGACCCAACUUUAGGGACUUAGAAGGGUGAUAUGGUCUUUACCGUACCUUUCUGAUAAGUAACCUGACCCCUGAACCCGAUCCGGUUUUUCGUAGACCACCUUUUCCAAAUAAGGAGUCACACUUAGGGUUUUUAUUUCUUAUUUUGUUUACCCUUUUAAAAAUAAAACAAAAAUAAGUGGCGACUUGAUCGCUCGGAUUUUGUCGUUUAUUGGAUCAAAACAAAAUUUAUAACCUAAUUCACUAUUUUAUAGCAAUUUGUACCCGAUCAAAAAGUGGUUUUAGUACAAACUACUGUAGUAUAGUGGUUUUUAGGUAUCGUCCACAAGGAUGGAUUAUUCUUGGUAAUUAAGGCUUGAAUGAGAUGAUAAGAAAUGAUUGUGAUCAAAUGAAAUUGAUUUGAAAAUGCAUGAUAAAAUUCCAAAAUAACAAUGUAUUCAAAUUGAGAGGAAAAUGAAGUGUAAAAGAGAAGAAAAUUAAUAAGAGGUGAGAUUCUCGGAGUUAGGAUUUUC
Molecule: long non-coding RNA, 65066 nt
Filed under: Vitis vinifera (wine grape)
Lineage: Eukaryota; Viridiplantae; Streptophyta; Magnoliopsida; Vitales; Vitaceae
Description: long non-coding RNA (VVIN_LNC001198)
Source: RNAcentral